This 63395-nucleotide long non-coding RNA is filed under the name Malus domestica (apple). RNAcentral's name for it is "long non-coding RNA (MDOM_LNC007035)". Lineage: Eukaryota; Viridiplantae; Streptophyta; Magnoliopsida; Rosales; Rosaceae. The record is from RNAcentral.
CUUCACUAGGUGAGUGUAUAAACUAACUUACCACACUAACUGCAUAAGCAAUGUCAGGACGAGUGUGAGACAAAUAAAUUAAUCUCCCUAUAAGCCUCUGAUACCGUUCCUUAUGAGUAGGAACUUGAUCUGGAAAUAAGCCCAGACAAUGAUUCUGCUAAAUCGGAGUAUCAACAUGUUUGCAAUCUAACAUACCUGUUUUAGCUAACAAAUCAAGAACAUACUUCCGUUGAGACAGAAAAAUGCCAUGCUUGGAUCGUGCAACCUCAAUUCCAAGAAAAUAUUUCAAUUCACCUAAUUCUUUCAUCUCAAAUUCAGUAGCUAGGUACUUUUGAAGGCAUUGUAUCUCCUUCUGAUCAUCACCAGUCACUAUCAUGUCAUCAACAUAAAUAAUCAAUGCAGUUAGCGUACCAUUUUGUCUCUUUAGAAACAAAGUAUGAUCUGAAUGACUCUGGAUAUACCCAAACUUCUUCAUUGAACUUGUAAACCUCUCAAACCACGCUCUAGGAGAUUGUUUCAAACUAUACAAGGCCUUUCGUAACCUGCAUACAACACCUUUUCCAGGAGAUGUUCCAAUACUAGGUGGAAGAUCCAUAUAAACUUCCUUCUUAAGAUCACCAUGAAGGAAAGCAUUCUUAACAUUAAACUGCAACAGAGGCCAAUCCUGGUUUGCUGCUAAGGACAGAAAAACACGCACAAUAUUAAGUUUGGCAACAGGAGCAAAAGUCUCCUGAUAGUCCACCCCAUAGGUUUGAGUAUAACCCUUAGCAACUAAUCUGGCUUUAUACUGGUCAAUAGAACUAUCUGUUUUGUGUUUAAUAGUAAACACUCAUCUACAUCCAACGGCUUUCUUCCCGUUUGGUAAAGGAACCAAAUCUCAAGCAGAAUUCUUUUCCAAAGCUUCCAUCUUAACUUUCAUGGCAUUAACCCACUUAGGGUCAGACAAAGCAUCUUGCAAUUUUGUUGGAAUUGAUACACUAGAUAGCUGACAUAUGUAAGAUGCAUAUGGUUUGGACAAACGAUGAGUAGACACAUAAUUGUUGAUAAGAUAUUUGGCUUUGGCAUGCAUAUCAAGCUCAUAUUGUACUUUAGGUGUUCCACGAUUAGCUCGUGGGGGCAACUGAUAACUAGAAGAAUCGUCAGAAUUUACCUCAUGUAUGCCACCAUCUUGUACCAAAUUGUUAGAAGAAUCAUCAUUGGACGAACCAUCAUCAGGCAACUCGUUAGACAUAUCAUCAGCAGGCAAUCGAUCAUCAAAAGGUAAUUUGUCAGACAUACUAAUAGGCAAUUCGCUGAGCACAUCUGAUCUGUCGUCAGUAGAAAUAGUUCCUGGAAUGAUAGGUGACUGAUCACUAUCUGUAGCCGAUUGAUCAGUAUCACGCAACAUAAUAGGUUAUGUUCCCAACUCUGCCUGUAACACAUCAUUUAUACCAUCUCUUCGAAUAUGCACUUCACUCCCCCUCUCCCCCUGAAGUGGAGAGUCGGAAGAAGGCUUCACAAAAUACGAAACUUCCUCACCCCAAAAUUAUACCAAUUCUCAUUCUUGGUAAACAACAUGCAUGUGCUUUAAUUAGAUACCCAUAACACGAAAAACUAGCAAAUCACUAAGGAAAACCAUAGUCAAUUUUAAAAAUGGAACUUUAAAACGAAAAACUCCUGGUACUGUUUACUUUAAUGAAAAACCACAAUUUUAGAUUAAAAAAUCAAUCAUGGUACUAUGUAAUUUACUCUUUAUUUUGUCUUUAUCGUUAAAACUCAAAGUUUUCAAGUCCUUUUCAUUAGUUUUCAUUUUUAAAUAUAAAUUUUGAAAACCCACUCGAGCAGUGGCGAAGUCACAUAGAGGUCAGGUGAGGCCUAGGCCCAUCCUGGAAUAUGCUGGUAACCUAUACCUAGUUAUUAUGUUUUGCUCUCUUUGUUUUAUUCACAUGAGGGACAACAUACCUUGAUAUCAUGAAGAAAAUUAGGGUUCGCCAUAAAAUUAAUGUGCAGUAUAGUAGCCCAAUUUUAUUACUUUUACAUGCAAGGUCCCUUAUUUUUUCGAAUACUCUCAACACAUGUAACAUGGAAUUCAUCAAUUAAAAUUCCCUUAAUUUAGAGGGUCAAUACGUCCACGUUGUCUAUUGCAACUACUAAAGCAUCUGCUCCAGGAGUAAAGGUUAGACAUAUCAACUUUCAUAACAUUUUCUGCAUAGGAAAAAAUGAAAUCAAUUAGAAUCAUUUCUAAGCAAAGAGCUUUGGACUCGACGUUACAUUUUGUGCUCGUGAAAUUAAUAAUGAGAAUAAGACAAUGGUAACCUUGCAUUAACCGCCUAUUCUAUAUAACAUGAAUGGCCAUUUUAGCAAAUUCAUAGUCUCUUUAGACUCUAAGUUCUACCAUGGUCUCCGGAGAGUCUGAAUAUGGUCCUGGACUUUUUCUCAUCAUUCCGCUUGUGGUGAUCAUAGCCAUCUGGUGGUGUUGCAGUUGCUGCUUCGAGAAUAUUCCCCAUGAAGAACCGACACAACGACAAUUGGAAGAUGAUGAAAUGCAAAAGACCACAGCAGCAAGCGGUACAAGGACUACUACCGCUUCACCGGUAAUCCAGAAGUAUGAAAAGGGUGUUAGCCUGGUAGGAGAUGGUACGUGUCCUGUGUGCAUAGAAAAAUUUAAAGAAGGUGAAUAUUUUCGUACCUUGCCGGAGUGCAAGCACUCGUUUCACGCUGCAUGCAUUGACAUGUGGCUCUAUUCUCAUCCGAAUUGCCCAGUUUGCCGCGCCACUGCUACACAGUUCACGGUUGUUGUUCAGCGGUAGUAGGGCUUCUGAUCUGAGCUCGAUACUCGAUAGUGCCACGGAAGAGUAAACAAAAUUUUGCACAAAAAAGACGUUGCGUUGUUUUGUAAUUGCAGCCGGGGUAGGAGUAAUUUUUUAUGCUUGUGCCGAGGAAGGUAUAUAUAAUCCGUACCUAGAAGCUUGAAGACUCAUGAUAUUCUCCAUGAGAGUGAUUAUUAUUGGGUGUAUUUCGUACUUGUUCAUCGGAAACUGAUGUCUUAGACAUCAAACGAAGGCCUUGUUGGAAUGAUUUGAGAAAUGUAUUUUCAUUAACAAUGCUUUGGUUUGAGAGCUUUCAUCUUUCACCCAAUCUUGCGACACUAGAUACAUAUAUUGGUUUAAUAUAUUCUAUGGAUCCUCAACUUCUCUUUUGGUUUACAUAUGGGAUUAUUAUUUUGAAGUUUCAAAUGUUUGUAUGCAAGUCCGCUUCCUUUGUAGAAACAGACACAUAUCCAUACACAAUUGAGAAAAUCAAUUACUAAAAAUUGUAAACUUCAGGCGCAAUUAAGGCAGUAUAAAUAUAUAUGAUAGAUCAAGCGAAAACUUCACUCAAACCAUAAGGUUGGUUAACAUCUACUAUUAGUCAAAGGUGGCACUGAGGGGAGUGAAAGGUGCAAUCGCAUAGGACCUCCAAAUUUGAAGGGCCCCUAAAAAUUUUUGGUAUCUUAUAUUUAUAUGUAAUAAUGUUAUAUAUUAAAAAAUGCUUUUAUUAGCACUUUUAUAAGUAUAAUUUUUUUUCUUUCUAAAUAUAAAAAUUUGAAAUGCACAAUGAGAUAUUAGGAGUGUUAAUAACAACACAUUAAAAAUGAUUUUCUUUUCAAUUUUAUUAAUUAUAUAAUAAUGCUAUAUAUUCAAGUGAAACUCUAAAGUUAGAGUUUUUGAAGUUUUUUUUUCUUUAUUUGGUUGCUUAAGAUUGAACUGUUUUUUAUUAUUUAGUGAAGAUUAUGUUUAUAACUCUUUUUACUUAUUUAAUGACACUUGUAAACUUACAAUCAGUGAGUCUUAAAGGUUGUUUUGAUUUAAGUUAUUAUUUUCUAGUACCAAUAUAUUGUCAUACUUUAAAAAAUAUAUAUCUUAAAAGGGGGCCAUUUUAUAAAUUUCGCACAGGGCCACCGAAAUAUCAGAGACGGCCCUGAGUCUAUUACAACCUAUAUAUGUAGUAUCUGGUCAAGGGAAAAAUGUUUGGUAAUGCCUUAAAUUAAGAUUAUUCUACGAGUAUGAUUUUUGAACACACAUUUUUUCGUUCUAGACAUUCUAUAUAUUAUGUCUCUUGAUUCUCCUUUCGCAGACUUUGUUUAUUAUGUCUCUGCAAAUAAGAACUGUUAAGACUCUUGUAUGGACAAUCACGUCUUCAAUACGAGACAAUGGUAGUUGAACCGUAAUUAAUUCCUAAGAGUACCUUGACCACUUAUAGUACACAAAAUCUUUCAUUAGGUGGUCCAUAAUCAGUGGCUGAAACAAGAUAAGCAGUAUUUAUGUAUAUCUUAGGGAAAAUGCCAGGAAGAUUAUGGUUUUAAUUAUACUGGAUUUUGUAGAUCAUAUGAUGUGGCAGUUGAUGAUUUCUUGCAACAUAGAUCCAUCAACAGCCAUGUUACGUAAUUUAAAAAAUAUACUUCAAAUAGAUAAUCUCGUUAACAUUGUCCAUAUCUUAUUAGUCACCGUAUGAUCAUUUGUGGAUUCUGGUGUGUCAUUAUAAGAGCCUUGCAUGGCUAUCACGUAAGUAGGAGAUGGUUUAAUGCAUAAGAAGUCCAUUUUGCUUUAUCACAUUUGUGCUACAACUGAACCAAAUAACCCAAUAAAUUAAUUGUGCUAGCUACGGCUGCCUCCAUUAACAUUACUUUCACGACAUUGGUACACUAAUUUUAUUUCAAGUUUAAUUCGUUAAGAACAUUUACCUUUACACAUGAUGUCCGAGUUCUCACAAUGUUAUUGGUAUAAAACUAAAAAAUACUUAUAUAAAUAAGUUAGGAAAAAAUUUAGGACCAACAAUUUUUUGUGCUCCAAAAAGGCCGCUUAGUGUUCCAAAAUAAAAAAAGAGGUCGACUCAGAGCUUCAGCCCUUUCCAUCUUCUCAUUUGUCUGUGAAGGCACAUAAGACAAGUGCAAACCUUGAUAUAAUCGCCUUUUCUACAUAUAAUUUCAAUGUCCAUUUAAAUUCCUUGGCAUUUCAGCCGACUUUCCACCAUGGCUGAAAGCCAUAACCUUGUCUCUGAUCCCAGAUUAUACAUUCUUCUAGUUGCUCUGAGCUCGGCUGUGCUUGUUGUCACACUCUACCAUUGCGCAGUCAUUUGUUGCUGCAACCGCAACCCCCAACCACGACAAACACGACGCCGUUUGAGGCCCGAAACCACGGGGCUCACAGAUGGCAGCAUGGGGCCUUCAUCGGCAUCCGAACUCAUUCCGUCCAGGAAGUAUCAAAGGGACGUUGGCUUGGUCUUGGUGGGAGACGGUAUGUGUGCUGUGUGCAUAAGUGAUUUUGAAGAAGGUGAAGAGUUUCGUACCUUGCCGGAAUGCAUGCACUCAUUUCACGUUUCAUGCAUUGACAUGUGGCUGUUUUCUCAUUCAAGUUGCCCGAUUUGCCGUGCCGACGCCACACUCUCAUCCCUCGUAGUUCGGUGUUUGCCUGAUUUAGAGUCCGGUAACGUAGAGAGCCGAUAAAUUUUAGUAAAAUUAUUUGAGCACAGUGUAUAGUCAAAUAAAAACAAAAUAUAAGAUAUGGUGGUUGUGACACCACAAUCCAAGUUCUUCUGAGGCCUUAGCAGCCAAUAAUUUGUAAGGACAUUGUAGUUAUGCAAUCUAACUAUUGGAUAUGAUGGUGAGGAUUGUCUUCCAAUUAUUAAUGUAUUUACCUUGUGAUUGGGGCCAUGAAAAGGGGUUAUUGGGCUUUGUUUUGGGCUUCAUAGGUUGCCACAAAAACAAAUGGGCCUGUAAUUUGGAGAUCCAACCCAAAACAAAAAGUACAGUUGAAAGCCAGUCCCGGUAAAAUUCCAACUUCUCUAGGGUGCCAUAUAUUUAUGAGUAUUUUUACCUCCAUUAAAUACUGAAAAUCAUGUGUCUACUUGUGAAAAUAAAUAAAUAAAUAAAUAAACUACUGACAAUAAUGGUUGGUAACAUGCAUAGUUAGAGAAAUGCCAAUGUGACUUUUUUCAAAAUUUCAAAACUAGAACUCUCCAAUUUUUAUAGAUUUUCUGCUAUUUUAUGUUUUUAACAUAAUAUUUUAUGAUGUUGACAGAAAAAUUGACGUUAAACUUUAAGGUGGCAAAAAGUUAUACUUUUUGCUAUCUUAUGUUUUUAGCACAAUAUUUUAUAAUGUUGAUAGAAAAAUUAGCGCUAUGAGGUGACAAAAAGCUAUAAAAAAUCUAACUUUAAGGGAGUUUCCUUAACAUUUCUCUUUAUUUUACCUCGGUCCUUAGGUCCCAACUUUCAAAAAAAUAUUAUUGAUUGAUUGAUUGAUUUAGUUUUUACAUUUGAGAUUUCGUUGAUAACCUAGGAUGGGUAUAUCAAUAGGUUCGGAUUAAAAGGUCAAUACAGAUUUGACACUGACCAUAUGCUUAGUUAAACCAAGCACCAUCAACUGAAAACAAAUUUAAAAUUUAUGAAAGAGACUACAAACUCGAACAACAAACUUAAAUCGAAUUGUUGCUUAUUAUUCUGAUUCAGCAUGACAAACCUCGGCAAGCAUUAUCUUAUUAUCUAAUGAUCAUCAGUUAAGAUACUGAAAGUAUUGAGUAUUUACUUAUUAUAUUAAAUAAAAUAAUUAUGAUUAGAACUCUAAAAAGAUCACAUGCUGUUUUUUUGUUUGUAAAUUACAAAUUAUAAAUAACAAGUGUGAACGACUGCAAAACAAGAUUUUUUUAGUGUCAGUAACAGUUGAAGAUAAAUACAAUAUAAUUUAGUUGAAUUAAAACUAUAUGUUAAUAUUGUUUGACGUAAGAACAAUUUACAUUACGUGAAACGAAAUUAAACAUUAUGUAAUAAUUUAAUAAUAUAAUGACACGAGGAUACUUCUUUUCCUACAACACAUGGAGUUGGACUUCGAGCAUAACUUAUUUGCUUAAUAAAAGGGAAAGGGAAUAUGCGUUUGCCAGAAGAUUAGCCUCUGCAAGCUCUGCUAAUCCCAGAACCGUCAACCAAGCUAUGAUUUAAUGACAAAAACGACGCAGUUUCCACCACUGGGACUUGGAGUCAAAGAGUCAAGAGUCAAAGAGCCAAAUCCCUCUACAAAUUCAAGGCGCAGAAAAGCAACUCAACUCCUUUUCCUGUGAGCUGAGUUGGGUGAAUGGAUUAGACAAAAGCCAAUUUAGCAUCUCAUCAAAAACGACCCGUCACUUUCCUUGUCUUUGUGUUCACAUGUGAACUUUCCCUCGAACAACGCCUCGCCUCUCCUCUCCUCUCCUCUCCUCUCACCCAUAUUUGCCUAUUUGCCGACUCUCUUACUCUGCAUUUUUGCAUGGCUUCCCUGUUUUUUGUUUGUUCAUUUCUUUGUUUUAGUCCUCUGCGAUUUGCCAAUUCUCUGUGAUUUCCACAUCCGGGUGGGCUUUUAGUAUUGGUGGGUUUCAAAAGCGCUUUUGUCAUCACGUUUCAUGAUUUAAAGGGUGAUUUUCUCAGAAGAUACAGCCUUUGAGAGAUAUUUUUAGCUGGUGGGCAUUUGGGUAUUUUCAUUUGCCCCUAAAGUAGCGAGCAAGUUAAGGAGUGUUUAGUUACUGAGUUCCCACUAUCUGGGUUUUUGGGUUUCUCCUGUGUUCAUGGAAAAGAUUGGAACUUUACAAAAUCUUCCCAGAAGAUUAACCUUUCCCUUCAGUUUCUUGGGCUUCUUGUGAAUUGGGUAAAAGGGUAAUGCCCAAAAUUAACUGUGGUUAGUUUGAGUUUUUUUUUUGGGUAGUUUUGAUGUGAAAUCAGUAGCUUUCUGAUGAGAUUUGAUGACAGAGAUGAAAUCUUUGAGCAGUGUGGGACUUGGGUUAAGUGUGGUUUUUGGCUGCCUUUUCUUAGCUCUGAUUGCAGAGCUUUACUAUUUACUGUGGUGGAAGAAGAGAUUUACCAGCAGAGAGAUUGACAGUGGCUACAGCAGCAGCCCACAGAAGGAAAUCUUCUACAUGUUCUGCUGGAGAAGAAGCACUUGCACUCCCUCCCGAAACCCCACAGGUAUCUGUGCUUCAUUGAGAAUGUCAGAAACCCUAGUCCAUGAACCAAGCAGCAACAAUCUGGUGCUCAAAUCAUUUGAGGAGGAAGAUUUGGAUGCUGAGCUCAUGAGGCUGCAGAAUGCUGGUGGGGGCCCACCAAGGCACCUGUUCACAAUUGUGGAGGAAACAAAGGAGGAUUUGGAGCAACAGUCAGAGGAUGGUGGGUGGAGGAGCCAGAAGGGUUCUAGGAGUAAGAGUCUGAGUGAUUUGCUUGUGGGAUUUGAGACUCCAUAUCUGACACCUCUUGGUUCUCCAACACUUUUCACACCUCCUCUCACUCCCCAGCAGGGUUUCAGCCCACUCUUUGAGUCAAAAUCUGAUGCAGAAUUCAACAGAUUGAGGUCCUCUCCUCCUCCAAAAUUCAAGUUCUUGCAGGUUGCUGAGGAGAAACUUAGAGUAAAAUUGCAGGAAAAAGUUCAGAAUAUUGAUGGAAAUGCUGAGGAAGAUGGUUCUUUCAUCACAAUCAUUGUUGACAAGAACAAAGAAAAGUGCCAUUCGUCAAGCACUUCACAGGUUCUUCCGUUAGUUUCUUCACCUUCAGGAUUCAGAUCAACAAUUGGGAAGAAACCCAAUUUACAUUAGAGUUCGAUGAACCAAAAUUUUUGCUUUUUUUUAAAAAAAAAUUAUUAUUUGUGGGUAAGUUUGUUAAAUUUGAUUAGUAAUAGAGGUUCAUGUGGAAUGUAAUGAGUUCUAGUGGGGUGGGGGGGGGGGAAUAUAUUCAGGAACAUGAUGGUGUGAGAUGGGUUUUCCUGUUAGUGGGGGACCCCGUGACUGUGAAGUUGCUUUGUUUUAUUUAGCCUUCAUGUUCCCCUGAGUUGUCUCGUACCUGUAAUCUUCUUGUGAGUGUGAUGAUGCUGCUACACAACUGAUGUUCUUGUCCUCUCUCUCUCUCUCUCUCUCUCUCUCAUAGAAACUCACACUAAGUCACUGUAUUGGUAUUUCAAACCACCAAACAUUAUGCAUCGCGUGAUUGCAAAUACCAUCACAAUAUAGAGAGGGACUUGGCAAUGAUACCACCACAAUGGAGAAAAACUUACUUGCACCUCUAGGGUACUAUUUUGGUCUUAUGAACCAAUAUUACAAUGAAUAUGCGAGAACUAAAACACAUGAUAUUAUUUUUUUGCCCAAAACACUGCAAUAACACUUUGAAGAGCACAGACAAGUCCUUUCUUAUUACAGUAACAUCCCGUUUCAUGAAAGUCAUUAUCUCCUCGUAAACAAUCAUUGUUGCCAUGCCAUUGUUCUCCGGCAUGUUUAUGCCACUUGUUUUGGUAAAAUCUCAAUAUCUAGGUGCAAUUCAAUAUCUUACUACAAGUGACUUAGUGACAUGACAUUAAGAAAGCAUGAACCACCUGCAUUACAAGACAAAGUAGGAAAAGGGAAAGGGAAGAGUUUAGGUGAUGCCUUUGGCCUUUGGGCAUUUUCCCAAACAACAUAGAGGAGCAAAUUGCCCCGUGAAAGUGGUUUAUGGGAAUUUGCCGAAAGGUGCAACUAUCCAUCCACCUCCACCUUGAAGAAUCAUGUAGGCUCUUACUUUUUUACUAUCCCUUUGUAAUCUUCUGUUCUGACAGUGACAGAUUCGUGGCUCAAAUCAUGACCUUCAAUGUAUAUUAAGAAAACAAUCCGUAUGUUCUUUUUGUUACAUGUUUACUUACAAAGAAUUAAGAGGUUUUCGUUCUUGAGUUUCGUGCGUUUCCUAAAAUACAAGUUGAAAAAUUACUUCACUUCUAAACUUUUCUUUAUAAACACUAACAUAUAAAAAUCGAAAAAGCAUGAAUUUCAUCUUACUUUUUCUAUUUCGAAGUCGUCUAAUUCGUUCAUUCUCUCAUUUCCAUUAGUAAACAUACUCUAUAGAGAAUCAAAUCUUAGACCAAUCAUAAUCUCAAUUCAUUGCUACAAUCUUUAUCUCCCCACACUGCGUGCGCUUACUUUAAUUUACCUUAGACUUUGGUUUUAAAUUUAUUCUUACUUUUCAUACAUAACUUUCACCUUAUAGUUUCGUCACCUUUUGGAUGUCAGCCGACAUGCCUCAAUUUUUGAGAUCCACGUGGAUAACCAAUUUGGGGUCCGUCAAUUUGGUAUCAAAGCCCAAAAGUUGUAACCAAUUUUAUAUUUUAUUGUGUCUAUCUCUCCGUCAUCACCCUUCUAUGAUUUUAACUUUCUUUAUAUAGGAAAAUCUUUUACUCUUAUUUUUUCUCAUGUACUAAUCUAUUUUUCUUUGGUAUUCAAAUAAAAUAAAUCAAAGAAGAAUCGAGAGAAAAGGAGUGAAUUUUGAUUUCACAACUUUACUGUUCAACCAUAAUGAUCAUAAAGACUCUGUACAAAUUUGAAACAUGAGCACUUGAUGGAAACUUAAAAACGUGUGAUGAUGAUUGAUGGAAAUGCUAUCACAUGCUAAAUAUCAAGUCACUUCCAAAAAAUAUUUACCGCCCACUGCAUGUGGCCAAGUAAUUUACCUCUACUUCUAUAUAACUUGCAGUAAAAGGAAGGGGUAAAUUUUAUUUUUAUUUAUGAAGAACACGAUUGAAUACAUGGAAAAGCACCAAAAAAUAAACUAGAAAGCCAACGUAUAUGAAGAAAUAUCAGGUCAGAUUCCAAUGGCAGCAAUAGCAGACAUUCCCAGCUCAACACAGAGUGGUUUCAGGCCGGGUUCUUCCAAGAGGCUGAAUGCGGUAAACCCGUAAUAGGAGUGAUAUAGAUCUGGAAAGUCCCCCGGGAACUUGCUGAAACCACCGUACUGGUGAAAACACAAAUACGAACAUCAAAGUCGGGAGUCAUAAGCAAUACUAUCAGCUUAGAAAAAGGUUUGAGACAGAAAUUGGGGUACUUCCAUAAUAUCAUACGAGUAGCCUAAUUACGACAUUCCUCAUGUUUACAAAAGAUACUGUUGCCAAAAAAAUCAAGCACACAAAACAAUUUAUACCGUCUGCAUUGUAUUGGUCUGUUAUUUUUCGUAAGAACAGGAACUUAUAUCCAUUUGUGUUUCUAGUUUCUAUCAUCAUCGCCUUAGGAUCUUUCUAUGUUUAUGGAGGUUAAUCCAAUAAAUUUGUAAAUGUGUAUGCAUGACCGAAGUAAUAACAGAUUUUCCAUGACAAAUCUGAAAGAAACUUUACAUUCUCCCCUAUCGUAUCAUAGGUUAGUAUGAGGAAAGAUAAGCAAAAGCACCUCGGAUUGACAAGUUAGCAAAAAUCCAUGUAGAGCCUUCUUGUCAAUGAAUUUGUGGCCCCCUAAAACCUUCAAAACUGAUCCAAUCCUGCACAAGCAAAUUUCUGUUGUCAGGGUACGAAAUUCCAAACACGGCAUGAAACUCCCAAAGGAUGUUCAUCCACCUACCAAAAGGCAUAACAUGUAUCACUAGGCUUGUUGGGUCUACCCUGAAAUCCACCAUCAGCUGCCUGUCUCUGCAGUGGUACAAAAAAACGACUGAACAAGAAAAAUCUUUCCUAUGGGAUGAGAACAUAAAAUUGCUUAUCAGAAGGCAAAGGCAGGGACCAUUGUUUCAGUUUCAGAUGCAUCUACUUAUUUGGCAGAUUUUAAGGCUUUUAAUGCCCACAUGCCCAUCAAGUGUUUACUUGCAUGAGUGUUAAAAGCUUACAACUCAAGGGGAAAACUGGUAACGCUUGAAGAGAUUAGGUGAGGAGAUAAACCUGCAAGCACCAAUCCAGCAGCAAUGGCACAUUUAUUAUGGAAGACUCUGCAUCUUUAGAAAGAAUAUCUUCUUCAAUGAAUCCCAUUAACCGGAGAGAUGUAACACCACAAUAUGUUGCACCGCCUGUGUCGCUAAAAUGAAUAUUGCAUCAUUGGAGGAAAAUAAAUUUUCAAACUUUUUGGAUUUACAUCAUGAGCUAGUCUAAGCAGAAAUUAUGCUGUUUUCCUCUAGUAAAUACAAAAUAACAACAAUCGAGUAAAAUAUUAACAAGAAAGCAACUGGUAAGGAAAUAAAAAAAAUGGGGACAUUCAUAAUUGUUAGAUAAGUACAACUAACACAUUCUUACAAAAUGGAGCACAUUGACUGAAAAACACUCACCAUGAGAUUCUGAACCUGGAGUCAACCCAAAGCCUCCAUCGUAUGACUGAAAGAAGAAGUCACUUCUCUAUAAGUAUAUCUCUAAAAUAUAUCAAGAAUUUGGAAAUUUACUGAUUAAAUGGAAGAUAUAAUUCCAAGAGGAUGACUGCAUUUGUCAUACAGACCUGGCAAUUUAUUAUGUACGCCUUGGCUUUCUCCUUGUCCAUGCCACUCCAAUUUCCCAUCAUAUGACAAAUGGCCACUGGUACAUCAAUCAGCUAAAUUGAUGCUACAUUGUCAAGUAUAUUGAAUUAAACGGCUUAAAAAGUAACUCCAUAAAAGCUUUUACCGUCUUACCAGCACAAUAAAUGAAUCGGAGAUCAGUCUCGGCCCCUGUAUGUAUAGGCAUAAAACUGCCAAAAUCAGUCGAAAAUAUCAGGAAAUUGGUCCAGCUACCUCAUAACAUCCCCUAAGAAAUGGCUAUAAGCUUUCCUGUAAACCACAAUACCUCCCAUCAGGCUGUUGAAGGUUUCUCAUUGACGUUAGUAUCGACUCAGAAUCAAUACUGGACAAGUCAUAGCCGAUGAUUUUAAGUAUCGCCACAGCACAAUACGUGCUGGCCAAGUUACUGACACUGCAACUUAAUAAAGCCUACAUCAAAAUCAAACUAAAUAAUUACAAACCGGAAACACGAAAAAAGUAUAUCAUUCAAUGCUCUUAUACUAAGAAUUUGCUUAAACUACGCGAACUGGUUAAAACCCGAAAGAAAGCUUAAACAAUACAUAAACUAGUUCAUAGUUUCAUACCCCAUUGUCUUUAUCCUCUGAAGGAAAUUGUGCAGAUCUGGAACCAUAAAAUCCAUAGAAUUGUCCUACAACAAAUCAAAAGAUCAAUUUUUUUUUAUUAAUUUAAACUAGAAUUCACACUUAAAUGAAAGCAAUUCAAUUCGAUUCGAUUCAAUUCUAUCGAAUUCGAACUCAAAAAUACAAAUCGCCCCAUCUACCGUUGUCCAAUUCGGACUGGCUUCUCGGGUGAGCUUGCAACGACAGAACCCACUUGGCAACUGCUUCCUUGUCAACCUACCAAAUCAAAGAUUGCAACUUUCUAUAUCAUUUAUUUCAAAUUUGAAUUUCAACAACGAAAAUUGACUAACGACGACGUACGAGGCGAUCGGGGGCGGCGAGGAGGUCGAGGCCGGAGAUGACAAAGUAAGCUAGAGUGAGGCUGUUGAUUUCCUGGGACUGGUAGGGGGACGGCAGCAGCUGGUACUCCAUCUGAAGAAACGUCACGUGCCGGUCACGCUCGAAAAUCUCCGAAGCCAUGGCCCGAUUUUAUUGGACGGAGAUGGGGCAGUUGGAGAUCGGAGAUCCUACUGAUUGCUUGGGUUUCUCUAACCAGCUUUUGGCUUUUAACUGCGGAGGUGCACGGCGUACGAAGUCGACGGCUGAGAUACGUUGAGUCCGUUUCUAAAGCGUUUUCGGAUGUCGUCAUCUACUCAUCUUCGAACUUCAGACAACUGUUUUUUUCUUUCUUUUUUUUUUCGCGGAAAAUAAUAAAGGGCGCCCAAAUAUCAUGAUUUUCUUUUCUUUUUUGAAAGUGGAAUACAUCAUCAAUUUUAACUUUACAAAAAAAAAAAAACGAUUAUAUAUAAACUUAAAAUAUACUGGUUUAUUUAGUAGGAGAUUAACUAUUAGAUUCACCCUUAAAUUGCUGAAAUUUAAUCAUCAAUCUAAUUACUCCUUCGUAAUGGAAAGACUAACUGAUAAAAUUAAAAUAUUAAAAGAGAUUGUGUUUAUCGAGAGAGUAUCCUCGCCGGAUUCUCGAUCACAUCCGUUCAUCGUAUAUCGUGCGGUCAGUUUUCAUCAAAUACUAUUUAUAUUCAAUUUUAAAUAAAAAAUUUACUAUAAUUUAUGACUCUACUCUUAGAUUCGAUUCUCACAAUCCAUUCAUCAUAAAUCGUGCGAUCAGUUUUCGUCAGGUACUAUUUAUAUUCAAUUUUAAAUAAAAAAUUUAUAAUAAUUUCUGACUCCACUCUUAGGUUCGAUUCUUACCAAAAAAAAAUUUGAACCAAAUUAUUGUUAGCCCAUUGUGAGGCUUAACUCACUCCCUUAAUGUAGAUAAUUUAUCAUUUGUUAAAAAAAAAAAAACUAAAUAAUUAAUCCUUCAUGGGCUCGGGUUUAAAGAUAUGAAAUAAUGAACUCAAGAUUUAACUGAUUCACCCCUCAAAACUGGGCUGCAUCAAUUAUAACUUUCGGAAUAUAUUGAUUCAAGAUUAUAAGAAGCACUUGGUUAUAGGCUAAGUUCUCUUGUCUCUCAAUUGUCUGACCUGCUAUAAGAGGUACUUACCCCCUUAUAUAUGUCCUCAAUGAGCCCAAGAAGUCCCAGGCUCAUCCACUUUAUUAUUUUAGCAUUAAAUGGGCUACCAGCGUAGACUGCUGUGCUGACUAUCCUUUCGUUCAUCAGUUGACAUUUGGUAGUGAAGUGACAGUCUUUUAACUCAAUUACAUGUUUUAUGGGCCAACGCGUACCAAGCACGAGGCUCGGCCUUGACUAGUCAAUAGUGUUCAUUCGGAUCAAGGCCUGGUAUCCUUUUAUGUCCCAUCCUAGGCUUUUGGUUUUACUGGUGACUAACACAUCGCCUGGGUUGGUGUCUAAGUAUGCCUGAUCCUAGAGUCUUGUGCAAUAAAGUUGUCAGUCUGCCCACGUGCUUUGACGUUUGGGAAGUGCUUUAUGUUAGUCAAACAAAACUAGUGAACAGUUGACUAUAACGCUCCAAAAUGCCCCUUUCUAAUUCCUUGGACUUCCAUUCCUUCUUUGUGCCUUGACCUUUCUUGGGCUUUCCGCGAUCUUUUUUUGUACUUGUACUAUUUUGAGGGUCUAAACCCUGCGCUAACAAUACCAAAGCACCAACAGGAUAUUCUUCUGGUCGUUUUGGUGAGGAUCCUGGAGAUUAGUAACUAUUUGUAUUUAAUUUUAAAUAAAAAUAUUUAAAAUAAUUUAUAACCGCAUGAUGUAUAAUGACCUGAUACUAUUUAUGGAUCUCCGUGACCUCACAAAAAGGAUCCGGAUUCACCAAAGCAUGUGGUAGUAUUUUUUUUUAUUAUCCCAUAAUUGUACAAUUUCAUAUAUAUUGGACCCACAAACAAAAGACGGAAUACAAAUCUCAAAUUAUUUUGACGAAUCCGUUCAAUUCCAAAACCCACCCUAAAACCCUGACCAGAGCUCACCUCCUUUCUUUCUCGCUCUCUCGCGCGAACACUUUCUUUCCCUGAGUAAUUUCGUCGAGCACUUGGGGUGCAAUACUGCGGAACCCAUGAAGGCCAACAAGGCAACCGUCUUAACAUUUGCCGAGAAAUGCAAGGUAUUCAUAUCCCCUCAGUUUUCUCAAUUCAUUUUAUUUUUCAUGGUUUUGUUGCUACAAGAGUCUCAUGACCUCAAACAAUUGCAGAGUAUACUGUCUUCCAACUGGCAAGGGCAACUCAAUACCAUCAAAGCUGAUGCUAAAGGAAGGUAACCUAUUUCGUCAAAACUCUUCCUUUUUAGCUAUGCUUAGUGGGUACAAGACUUAAAGAAUCGGGCUUUUUACAUUGGUUUCGAUUGCAAAAGGCCUUCACUCAACUGAGUAUAAUACUAUAUGUUGGGUGGUCAUGUUAAAAAUUUAGCUGAUCAAAGAUGUAACCGAAAGGAUUGUAUUAUUGAAAAGAAAUCACAUUGAAAACCCGACUGAUUAGGUCAACCCCGUGUAGGUUAUCUUUCACUUCAUAAUCUCGUAUAGUAGUUUGGAAUUGAGUUGAGUUUCUGAUUUCGUUUUACAUAAGUAAAAUGAUAUGAGUUCCCAAGUUUAGUGUCUGUUCAUCUUGUUGUGGGCUUUAGUUAGUAACCGUUAAAUGUUUAAAGCAGCAGCAAAGACUGCUACUUUCAUCCAUUAACUAAUGGGAUUUCUUGUUGUUUGCUAUGUAUGGUUGUGUUAGCAAGGAGGACAUAUACACAUCAAAGGUUAAGUACAUCUGCAAAAGAGGGAAGCCAUACCUUUGGGUGCCCGAAAAGGAGUUGCAUAAUGUGGUAAGCUCAUAUCAUAGUGUUUAGACUGAUGAUUUUUACUUUCGGACAUGAAGUCAAGUCAUUAAGUUUUCACUUUAUUUGCCUGCUGGUUGGCUGUAUUUUCUCUAUAGUGUGUGUUUGAGAUUUCUCUUGAUCAAGUACACAUGUCCUCCGAAAAAGAGGAAUAAUUUUAUUGUCUGGUAGCAGGCACCUUGUGCAUGGGGACGAAGCUUUAGUCAUUAAAGCUGUUAUCCUCAUUUUCUUUUCCUUCUCUUGCAGAAUGUAGUUGUUGAUGAGCGCUGUUCAUUUGCUGUCACCAAUCCCAUCCCAGGUCCACUGGCAAGCUUACUUAGAUCAUUAAGAAAGGUAUUCAAUUUUGAGUUAUGUGACACCCUUCCCUCUUUUCCCAGUUAUAACUACUUUACAGACAGUUUUUUCUACCCCAAGAUUUGUCAAAAGAUUUUUCUUCCAUAAAGCAUGUGAAUAUUUGGAAUAAUAUUGAUGUGAUGCUGCAUAAGGUACGUGUAUUUGAGAAAGUAUUUCCUUUGUGCAUAUAAAUCUAAUAGUUGAUUGUUCUAAAUUUGCAGACACCGCCUCGAAUUGCCCUGACUGGCGAAGUUGUGCCUCUAACUGAGGAAAAGGUAAUCUUAUUCUACCCCUACUUUACUUUUCUGAGCAUUCUGAACUUGAAUAGAUUUGAUUUCCAACUCAUGGGAUCCAUGUUCUUUGUCACGAAACCGUGUCUUUUCUUUUUAUAAGUGUAGGUUUACUUUACUGCUUUGUUCGAUUCUAUGAUUCUACAACCGUUGACCUUUAUUUUAAAAAAAAAAAAAAAAAAAAAAAAAAUUUCAACACAUUCUUAACUAACUAUGCCUUAAAUCACACUAGGUAUCGUCCCACCUCUAACAUGGUUAUUUUAGGCCGGUUCCUGAAAUAAUCCACUGGAUAAGGGAAAAUCAAAACAAAGGAGGAACGGGGCAUUGAGAAUAUUAACUCCUCAUUCACUGAUGAUAUUCAUCAGGUUUUGAAGGAGCAGGACAUUGGAAAUAUUAACCUUCAUUGAUGAUUUUCAUCAGCUUAAGUUGGUUGCGAAUAUGUGAUUGAAUUACACCUAAUCCUGCUUAGGUUAAAACUUCUGACCUCAUUAGUAAUAAGCAAUAACGGGAAAUUUGAGCUCUGAAAUUGCUUCAGGAUUAUGGUUACAGUGUUUUCUUUUAAUAAAAUGUUAUUAUUCUUGUUAUAGGUUCAAUCUGCAACAAAAGUCCUUAGAGAAGUCAUACGGUCAGACAGAAAGCAGUGAGUGAGUCCAGUUAUACAGUUUCAGGUAUAUUAAGUUCUUCUGAUCAUAGCUGUACAUCACGAAGCGAAAGCCUUAAGGAGCUCUUGGAAGGCGAUGAAAACUACAUAGUUUACAAGUUCAAUCAAAGGCAAGAACCUUGCCUUCUGGAAUUUAAUUGAAAUCUUUGUCUAAAUUUUGUUGGUAACUGAAUCCAGUGUUUUCAUCAGUAUGUCUGAUUGUGAUUAUCCUAGGGUCAGGUUAGAAUUUGGACAAUUUUCAUAGCAAGUAUUGGAGCAGGUCCAUCUGUUUAUAAACUGAAUUACCAAAUAAACUUUUCGUGUCGUCCCCGUCUAUCCAACCUGAUAAUAUGAAAACCUCCUAGCUAGUUUCAAUAAUUUCAAUCUUUAAGAGGACAACAUAUAGAGCAUUACGCUGCAUUCCAUUAAUACAACUAUGGCUAUAGGUCCCAUCAUUCCAUUAAUACAACUAUGGCUAUACGUUCCAUCAUUCAUGUAGUUCUUUGAAUAUAUUUCCGUACUCUCUUCGAACGAGAGAUAUGUUAUGCUUGACGUAGACUGUGAGACCUGAAAGUUUCAACACCAACGACCUCUGACUCAAAAUAUUUAUUGUCCAGAUCGUGUAUGUAUGUUGAUGGCAGUGGAGACACUCAUAAGAUUGAUACAGAAGAUAUGGCUGCGUCUAAAGCAGAUUUGUUAGGUAGAACCUAUUUGAAAGUGCUUUUAAAGGUUUCCUAUAGCUUGAGAAAAUACGACUUUUGUCAGUUUACUCACACGUAUAAAAUUUUGAUGUAGCUCCUUUGUCUGCCAAACUCAUUGAUGGGAUAAAUCAAAGUGCAGCAAGACGUAGAGCGCUAUGCUUUUCUGCUGUUCAUACUUGAAUGCAAAUGCAAAGGUAGACAAUCUUUUAUUAACUUCUAAUUCUUUGACAAGAUCAAGGGUAGGAUCAGAAACAUAUUAACUCAUUUGUAUACAUGUUGUCAUGGAAGGAUGCAUACAUGCUGUCUAUCGACCGCAAGGGGUUUGAGGUGUUGAGCAAGGUUCCGAGUCCUGGGUUUAAGGAUGGAUUUGGCCAGUUCGAGUGGAAGGAAUUUAGACUGUCAUUGAAGGAAGAGGCACGUGACGUUGAAGCAUUCUGCCGUAAACUUGUGGAAAUGGAAGAGGAGGCUGUAAAGGAGGUUUCAGGCCAUAGUGGUUUAGCAUAAAAAGGUUAAAAGGCAUAGCGGAAAGAUUUCUCGACUGCCCAAACCAUUCACGUAUUGCUUGUUUUUGUAAUGAAUCCUAUAGCUGGAUGAGUUUUGUGAUCCUUUUCCCAUUCCUGCAUUUGUACCACGUCGUCUGCUAAUCUGAGACGAGAGUAAGUCCUUGAAUCCCUGACGGACUUCUCGUUUUGCUAACGUCUAUAUCCCGACUACCAUGAAAUCAUAAUAUAGUUAUGGCAGGAGCCCGGUGGAUGUAUGCGUAUCGAACAACUAAAGCAUGUAGAAUUAAAGGCCGGACUCAAAAGCCGGCGUACUUAUAAGGGAGUCAAGGGACUAAUGCUACAGAACUAACAGCCUCCUUAGCCUCAGCGGACUCAGCUGCUUUGCCGACUUCGUUCUGUAAUUGACAGGUUCCUUCCGUCACUCCCGACUGCCAUACAAGUCUCGCGCAGGUAAAGGCGACUUCUGGCGGCAGCCAAUCUGUCCCACCCUAAGUCGAGCUUCUGAGAAAUCCCAAUUGCUUGAGCGAGAGGAAAAACAGAGACGGUGAAAUUGGUAAAAAUAACAUAGUAAAGAUAAAACUCGAACAAGCAGCAAUUUGACCAUGAGGGCAUAAUCAAACAGUAAAUCUAAGAGAAAUAAUUUACAAAGUAAAUAGGCUUUCAUUGGCUAAAUACAGCGAUACGGUGUUCAACAAAAUGACCAAGAAAACAUCCUACAUCUUGGAUUUUAAAAUCCCAUAAAAGUAAACGAUUUCAAACCUUAAACUUAAAUACACAUUCACUAGCUUCACCUCCACCACUUCCUUCAAAGCACACAUCUUGGAUCGACGAGAACCGCUUAAUCAACUUCUUCGAUCUUGGGACCAGCACUGCUGCCACCAGCAGGAGGAACAUCUUCAUCCAUGCCGCCACCGACAUCAGGUCCACCAGCACCACCCUGGUACAUCUUGGCAAUGAUCGGAUUGCAGAUGCUCUCCAGCUCCUUCAUCUUGUCCUCAAACUCGUCGGCCUCAGCAAGCUGGUUUCCGUCAAGCCAUUGGAUGGCCUGGUCAAUUGCAUCCUCAAUCUUCUUCUUGUCAGCUGCGUCUAGCUUGGAGGCAAUCUUAUCGUCCUUGAUCGUGUUCCUCAUAUUGUAGGCGUAAUUCUCCAGAGCAUUCUUGGCCUCCACCUUCUUCUUGUGCUCCUCAUCUUCUGACUUGUACUUCUCAGCCUCUUGAACCAUCUUUUCAAUUUCUUCCUUCGACAAUCUUCCCUUGUCAUUGGUGAUGGUAAUCUUGUUCUUCUGCCCUGUAGUCUUGUCUUCAGCCGAGACGUUCAAUAUACCGUUGGCAUCAAUAUCAAAGCAGACAGUGAUUUGCGGAACACCCCUUGGAGCAGGAGGAAUGCCAGAAAGCUCAAAUUUUCCCAACAAGUUGUUAUCACGAGUCCUUGUCCUUUCACCCUCAUAUACUUGGAUCAAGACACCGGGCUGAUUGUCUGAGUAGGUUGAGAACACUUGCUCCUUCUUGGUUGGAACAGUAGUGUUCCUUGGAAUCAACACAGUCAUCACACCUCCGGCAGUCUCCAAACCAAGGGACAGAGGAGUGACAUCCAGAAGCAAUAGAUCCUGCACCUUCUCAUUACCCUCACCGCUCAAGAUGGCAGCCUGCACGGCGGCACCAUAAGCUACAGCCUCGUCUGGGUUGAUGCUCUUGCAUAGCUCCUUGCCAUUGAAGAAGUCUUGCAACAACUGCUGUACCUUCGGAAUCCUAGUAGAGCCACCCACUAGCACAACAUCAUGGACCGUGCUCUUGUCCAUCUUUGCAUCUCUCAAACACUUCUCAACGGGCUCCAUACACUUUCUGAAGAGAUCCAUGUUAAGCUCUUCAAACCUGGCACGGGUAAUGGUUGAGUAGAAAUCAACACCCUCGUACAAAGAAUCAAUCUCAAUUGUGGUCUGAGCAGUGGAGGAGAGAGUCCUCUUUGCCCUCUCACAAGCAGUUCUCAACCUCCUAAGAGCUCUUGGGCUGCUGCUGAUGUCCUUCUUGUGCUUCCUCUUGAACUCUUGAACAAAGUGAUUCACCAUUCUGUUGUCGAAAUCUUCUCCUCCCAAGUGGGUGUCUCCGGCAGUUGCCUUCACUUCAAAGAUACCCUCUUCAAUUGUGAGCAGGGAGACAUCAAAAGUGCCUCCGCCAAGAUCGAAAAUCAAGACAUUCUUCUCCCCAACGCUGGUUGCCUUCUUGUCAAGACCGUAUGCAAUAGCGGCAGCGGUGGGCUCAUUGAUAAUACGCAAAACAUUAAGGCCGGCAAUGACCCCAGCAUCCUUUGUGGCCUGACGCUGAGAAUCGUUGAAGUAAGCCGGGACAGUAACAACGGCAUUCUUUAUAGAUGAGCCAAGAUAGGCCUCAGCAAUCUCACGCAUCUUGACGAGAACCAUGGAGGAAAUUUCUUCAGCAGCGAACUGCUUCUCUUCGCCCUUGUAUAUGACAACAAUCAUGGGCUUGUCACCGGGGCCGGGAAUGACCUUGAAAGGCCAGUGCUUCAUGUCACCCUGGACAGAAGGGUCAGAGUAUCUCCUACCAAUCAACCGCUUGGCAUCUGAAAAAUUAACCAAGCUCGUUUAAAAUACUAAUUUAUUAAUUACGCAUAACACAGAACAUGCUACCAAUCAAGCUAAAUCCUUUAAAUAUUAUCAAAAAUAAAAAUAACCAAACAGAUCAAGCUUCAAACACUACAAGCUCAGACAGCGUUUCUAAAAUUUCACCAUCAAUUAACAAGAAACUUAAAACCCAAAUUAUAAUUUUUAAGAGAUUAACUAAAACUCAAAGCCUUGAUCACCAAGUACAAUAUUUGAUAGUCCUUUAAUAUUAACUACAUAAAUCCUGCAAAUAACAAUAAAUAAAAAAAUCAACCAUUUUUUUUCUUUUUCAAUUCGCUAUAAAAAGAUUCAAGGCAGGCAAAAACCUCGCAUAAAAUUAGCUCCAUCGUAAUUUAUCACACCGAACCUCAAAAAGAGAAGUACUUUCAAGGAAAUUGAACUCUUUUUCUCAGAAAUUCAAGCAACAGAAAUCCAAAAACAGAAAAAUUUAAACCAGCAGCAAAUAUUGACAGUAAAUUCAUAAAAUCAGCCAUACAAGCAUAUAGAUCAGACAGUACAGAGUAAAAUUGAUUCAAAAAACGCAACAUGCAAGGCAACAAAAAAAAAAACAUCAUAACAUCAGAAAUAUCGCAAGAAAAGAGAAGAAUUUCGAUUCUUACCAAAGACGGUGUUGACGGGGUUCAUCGCUACCUGGUUCUUGGCCGCAUCGCCGAUCAACCUCUCCGUGUCAGUAAACGCCACGUAAGACGGAGUCGUCCGGUUGCCCUGAUCAUUGGCGAUGAUCUCGACACGAUCGUGUUGCCAAACACCGACGCACGAGUAAGUGGUUCCGAGAUCGAUCCCGAUCGCUGGCCCCUCUCCCUUUCCCGCCAUUGCAACCGCAGAGAUUCAAGCAAUCGAACAAGCAAAGAAUCGCAGAUAAAAUUAAAGAUCGAACCGCAGAGAAAAGUAAAGAGCUUCUGAGAUUUUUUGUGCAAUGGGCUGUUCGUAGUCACAGGUGUUGGAUUAAGAGUAGUGAAUUGGGGGGCUAUAUAGUAGGACACUUGUCUAGAAUGUUCGUGAGGAUAUUGACGAUUUUUGGUGGGAGGGUGUCCAGAAUGUUCGGUUUGAUAACGGCCGUUGGAUUCGAGUGUCGUGGACGGUGAUGAUUUGAUUUGCUUCGCGGGGUUGGUUUCUUUACUUUUUGAUCGAAACUUCGUGUCCACUCCCUUCGUCGUCGGAAAUUUGUCUUCUCGUCAAUUUCCUUGUUGGAAAACGUUUCACAGGACGGUGGCGUUUUGCGUGUGGGCUGUGACUUGACUUUUGGGCUUUCGAAGGGCUUUGAAUCCAAACGUGUUUGGGUCAGGCUGCACUGCAGUCCUUAUGGUAUGUGUUUGUGCAAUACUGUUUACAAUUGCUUUUGGACCAAAUGUAAUGGUUGAGUUAAAGCUUAAAAUUUAAGAAAAAUUAAUGAAAAUGAUUUGAAAACUUUAAGUUUUAACAAUAAAGAUAAAAUAAAGGGUAAAAUGAAUAGUAUCAGGAUUGACUUUUUAGUGUAAAAAUAUGAUUUUUCGUUAAAUUGAACAGUACUGUGAGCUUUUCGUUAAAGUUCUCUAAAAUUUAAUCUUUAUAUUAUAUCCCCCAAGGCAUUUCCAAUUAUUACUCUCUUUUAGUAUUUUUUGGCAUCAAUCCUUGGUAAAAUGCAAGUGAGUCAUGUGAAAGCACUUUAAGUGCUUUUAGGUCUCGUUUGGCAGUUCAGACUAUACUGACUAUUUCAGUCGGAUAGAAUAAUCUAUCACCGGAUUGUACUGACUAAAUUAAUUGAGUGUUUGGUGCAGUAUCAUACUAAUUACCGUAUUAUUUAUAAUCUAUUUGUUACCGUAUCCGAUACGAGAUCGGAUUAUAUUAUUUUUACUAAAAAAAUUUGAUGACUAAUGAAAAAAAGGAAAUAAUUUUUUGAUAAAAAUUCAGAACAACCAAAUGCAUCAAAUUAAAUAAAAAUAAUCUUGAUAUUGCAUUUUCUAUUUGUCCUUUAUUUAAAUCAAAUUAUUAAAAAAAAAAAAAAUCAUUUCUUCCCUAGAUCUUCUCCACUGCACAUGAUUCACCAUACCAAAUGGGAUGGACAAUAGAAUCAGCAUAAACCCUAUACCCAAUAGCAUGAGACUUCUUCCCAAAUGUUCUAUGCAUGUGAGAUUGCUCCCUGAUCUCUCACAUUUCUUUCCAUGAGGAGUCAACCCAAUUCCAACGAUGCUGCAGCGAUGUUGAGCAGUAGGUGAAUGCAGGCGGUGCUCCGACGACGUGGGUUUCAGUUGGAUCUAGUUCAAAUCUAGGAUCGAUGGCACGCGAACCCGUGCAGGCAGAGCCGGCCCUGCGGGUGUACAACAGGUGCCACCGCACAAGGCCACCAAUUCGGAAGGGCCCCUAAAUUUUCAUUACAUAUAUACAGAUGCAUAUAAAAUAGAUUAGAUGCAAAAAAAUAAUCUUAUCUAUGGUUCUAGCGUAAGCGAUUUAGCUCUUCUUUCUUCUAGCUCAUGUGUUGGGUUUGAAUCCCAAUGAUAUUGUUUUGUUAUAUUUUAAGCUUUUGCAAAUUUGUAAACAGGAGAUAAUUUGUUAUAUUUUAAGCUUUUGCAAAUUUGUAAACAAGAGAUAACAAAAAGGCAUUCAACGUGUAUCAAACUCAGGACCUUUGAAGGUAAGGAAAAACACCUGGCUAAUCAAACAACUUAUUUUUGUUGCAGUAACUUGUAAUAUUUUAGUUUUAUAGAUGAAAAAAUUGAAAAAAAAUAAUAAUAAAGAAAUAUAACAUUAAAAAAAAUGAAGGGCCUCCAUCUAAGUUUUGCACAUGGCCCCUCAUUACUCAGGGCCGGCCCUGCGUGCAGGUCCUACAACGAGGAACUGUAGAGGAGGGCGACGGCCGCGACGAGAAACUAAAGAGGAGGGCGACAACUAUAAAGUGCAAAAGGAAGAAGAAGAUGAAGAAGAAAUGAGAAGGAUGAAGAAGAACCUGGGGUUGAAGAUGGAAACAGAAGUGAGUUUGUAGAAUGAUGCGAGAAAGCCAGACCGAUAGAGGGAGGACACAGACCCGACUAAUAAUACAUAGGUUUUUGGAAGGAUAAAUAGCGGCCAUACACCGGAUAAAAGAUGUAGGCCUAGUUUAAGUAAUACGGGUACUAUUUAGUACAUAGUUGCACCAAACACCCGGCUCCAUAUAACUUAUCCUAUAUGAUUCCUUGUACAACUCACAAAUGAGGCCUUAGAACCCGAAAAUAUUUUCACUAAAAGUCAUUUCAUUCAUUUUAAAAGCACUUCCAAAAAAGCUCUUAAUAAAGCAUAAUGAUUGGAAAUGUUUGGGAGGGACAUUGCAUUUGAUCUAAAAGCAUUUCUAAACUGAUUCAUCAUGUAUUGCACAAACACACACCAUAUGAACUGUAGUGAAUCAAAUUUCACGCAACAUACUCUAUAAAUACCUAUGUAUUUAUUCAAACAUCCACACAAAAUUAGGAUAAUCUACAUAAUGUGUAGAAAUGAUUUUUCAUAUGUGUAUGAACUUGUGUUUAAGAAUGGGGUGGAUUUGUGUGAUUUUUUUUAUUAUUUAUUAGAAUUCUAAUAUUUUUAGCUUAAAAUAUAAAUAAAAAUAAAUUAGUAUAAUCUACGUAAUUUUUUUUUUAAAUUAUCGUGAAAAAAAUUAAGCUAAAAUUAAUUUUUAAUAAUUUGGGGCUUCAAUUAAAAAAAGCCAUAACUAUUGGAAGUAAAAAACUUUUUAUAGGUUAUACCUUAAAAUUUCAUGUUUAACUCACACCAUUGCACAUUGUUUUACAACUGAUUUUAUAAUGCUCAUUAGCGUUUCUUCUACAAGGAACUACUGCUACAGAACUAAUAGCCUCCAUAGCCUCAGCUGCUUUGAUGACUUAUAACUUCUCCAAAGCAGAUGUCAAAAUUGCCACAUAGACAUAUACUCGAACCGAGCCUUCAAUUUCCUAUACGGCGUUGAGUCAAUUGAAGACAAAGUAUUCUGUUGUCAAAUCCAUUUAGUAUUUUUCUAAUAAAUUUAAUGCAAAUAUAAUAAACGUUGUGUAUUCUAAGAAUUUGAUUGGUUGCCUACAUAAAUAGACCCCACAAAGUGAUUAAUUUUUUUUUAAAUGACAUUAUUGUUUAACAUAUCGGGUGGUAAAAAGAAUUACUCCACAAAGUGAUUAAUUUUUUUUAAAUGACAUUAUUAUUUAACAUAUCGGGUGGUGAAAAGAACAAUAAAGACAAAAUUCAAACAGGAAAUCUGAGAGAAUUUUGUAAAAAAAAAAAAGGCUUCUUUGGCAAAAUACCGGAAUACGAUAUUGAACAAAAUGACCAAAAUCACCAAACAUCCUACAUCUUGGAUUUUAGAAUCCCAUAAAAAAGUACCCAAUUCCAAACCUUAAACUAAGAAACAGAAAAAUACGUUCACCACUUUCUUCAAAGCAAACACUUUGGAUCAACAAAAACCGCUUACUCAACUUCUUCGAUAAUAAUAUUGGGACCAGCACCGCUGCCAGCAGCAGGAGGAAAGUUCCCCCAGCACCCUGUUCCCUGGUACAUCUCGGCACUGAUCGAAUUGCAGAUGCUCUCCAGCUCCUUCUUCUUUUCCUCAAACUCGUCAGCCUCAGCAAGCUUGUUUCCGUCAAGAAAAAGAAAGUAUCUCGAUUCUUACCCAGGACGGUGUUGACGGGGUUCACGGCGACCUGGUUCUUGGCCGCAUCGCCGAUCAGCAUCUCCGUAUCAGUAAACGCCACGUAAGACGGCGUCGUGCGGUUACUCUGAUCAUUAACGAUGAUCUCGACGCGGUCGUGUUGCCAAACACCGACGCACGAGUAAGUAGUUCCGAGAUCUAUACCGAUCGCUGGCCCCUCUCCCUUUCCCGCCAUUGCAACUGCUGAGAUUUAAUCCAUCAAACAAGCAAAGAACCGCAGAGAAAAGUAAAGAGCUUUUGAGAUUUUUGGGCGAUAGGUAAAGAAACUUAGCUAGGAACAAAUCUCAGUUUGUAAAAAUUUCCCGCCUUUUUGUAAGGUAAUGCUAGGGAGACUAAAUUUACAAAUUAAAUUAUGUAUUAUCAACAAAAAUGAGUACCUUUAUUCAUGUUUAAGUAAUAAAUCAAUUAUCAACUUCUAUGUUCUUUAGUUUUCAAAAUUUAGUAUACAAAUUUAGUCUUUCAAACAUUUCUCUUUUUUGCAUGUCCAUGUGGAAUACCAUUUUCCCAUCAUAGGUAGGGUUUUUUUUUCUUUUCCCGUUCACGCAUAAAGACAUUCUUAUAGUAACAAUACGCUAAGGUACAAUGUCUAAUUUUAAUAUUUGUACUUAUCAAGAGACAUUCUUUCAUUUUAAUUUUUUUUAGUUGAAAAUUUGUAUGAACUUUUACACCGUUAUAUUUAAAUUAAGAUACUGCAAGCCUCUUAACUUGAAAAGAGAAAAACGCAUAAAGCCUAUUAAACCAUUAUUUAACUGAUAAAAUAGUAUAUAAUAAAGAAGUUAGUAGAAAACCUAUCGUAAAUACAAACAAAAUGACUUGCACCAAAGCCUAGUAAACCAAAAAGAAAUGAUGAGAAUGUAGAGAGGAUAUUAAUAUUUGUAAAUGUAAAGAACUAAGGGGGUGUUGUUGCGCAGGACUAUCUCAGACUGGACUAGCUUUAAGGACUAAGCUGGACUAGUUUAGACUAGACUAAGCUGGACUAACUUAGUGAAGCGUUUGAUGCAGUGUUGGACUAAGAAGUUGGAUAAUAACAAAUUCUAAUAUUAUAAUAUUUUAUUAUGAUCUAGGUGACCGGAGAUGACGAGGAGUCUAUCGGGAGUGGUUGUUGAGCAUGAUGAGGACGAGAGAGGAUAGUCUUAGCUAGUCCCAUGAUUAUUGGGGGUCUCGCUAAGACUUCUUAGUGAAGGAUUUUGUCCAUGUUAGUCCCCUUUAGUCUCAUUAAUGUUAGUCCCAGCAUGGAACAAACACAGUAUUGGACUAACAGCUAGUCCAAUCCAGUCCAAUCCCACUUAGUGAGGGCAAACAAACGCCCCCUAAAUGAAACGUACACCCAUUACUGGUCCAAAUCUGUAAUCCUUAUUUUAGAUUGCUAAAAUGAAACUGAAAAUGAACGAUGCUAAGUAUACAUGUAUGCUGUCUUUGCUUGCGAAACUCAAGCAAUUUGCUAAAGCUGAGAAACUCUAUACUGAAUAGAACUCUAUUUCGGAGACACUAGGGUUUCAAAUAUACUCCUUGCAGCAUACAUCAAAGAAAACCAAACGAAAGUACUGAAACCUUUUGUUUAUACCAUAUUUAGGGCCUUGUAUUUAGACCUCGUAUAAAUACUCAGGAGACUUAAAUGUAAUUAUGUAAUAAAGGAAGGGGUAAAUAUGUAAUUAGGGGAGGAGCCCUUAUUCUAUAAAAGGGCCUCCUCACCCUCACAAACGGGGGGGGGGGGUCUCUCCUCAUCCCUCUCAAAGCUCUCACUCUCAGAGCUCUCUCUCCCUCAUUUCUCAGAGAAAUAUAAUACAAUCUGUGUUGACGUAGCCCAAACCUUGGGGUGAACCACGAUACAUCUUGUGUCAUUUACAUUACUUGCAGAUUCACGGUCGGAUUUACGUUGUUCCAAGACCUCCGGUUUUGUGCAUCAACAUUUGGCGCCGUCUGUGGGAAACGACACGAAAAGUUAUGUCGGUUCUCUCUCAAAUUUUCAUCUCACCACCGUGAAACCCUCACAACCUCCACCAUGAAUCUGUAGAAACCCAAUAACCAAACACCUAGAGAGUCACUGCAAAACCCAUGUCUUCCGUUCCAGCUCCCGGUCACGGCAGAAGCGAUGGAAACACAACCACCACCUCAUCUCUCUCUCUCUACAUUUUCUGUGCAGAUCUUGAGACCUAAAUCAGAACAUAAGCAUCAAUGUUACAAACUAAACCUGCAUCAGAAAAUAGAGCCUCAGUGCUUCUCAGCCGUUGGAUCCAUAGCGAAGCUCACCAGCUUCACCAUUUUGCUCGCCUUCUUGCUUUCCUGCUUCACUUUUGCUUCUACACAAACUCAAAAUCCCAAAUGGAUUUCAAGCUCCAAGCUCUGCUGUGCCUUGUAGUUCUUCAAGUUCUGGUCUUCUUCUCAAAGGAAGCAGAAGCAGCAGAACACAGCCAUGGCAGCAACUUGAGAGUCCACAAGAAGUAAGUGAGCAGCUGCAAUUUGUUCCAAGGCAAUCAAGGUUUUCACCUACCUUCGAAUCUGCCAUCUUAGUUAGAAGUCCACAAUCAAAUGAACUCCGAAUCCUCGAAUUCAACCGCUGCAGUUCUCUGGGCUCGAGGAUAGGUUGUGGCAGAAAUAACGAAAAAAACAGCCACUGAUGAUGCUGCAAACUCGCCACGGCCACCAGUGGAAAACCAACGAAAAAGGCCAAGAUGCGGAGGUUAGUGCAUCAACACACUUUGUUCCUUAAAGUCAAGGUCCGAGGAGCUGGCUGCGGGAGGAAGAAUGGGGCUGAUCUGGUUUGGAAGGAGUGGCCCAGAUCAUGUCGACAGAGGUAACAGUUUCUUCUGGCAGCCAAAAUUAAAGGUCCACUUCUCUUUCCUCUUUACACCAAUCACCAAAGUCAUCAUCCAUGGCUGCCUCAUCCUCUUCUGCAACCUUCAAGAAGGUCUCUUUUUGCCACCCUUAGCUUGCACAGCCCGCAACCAUCUGCCGCCUACUGCACCACCAUCUUCUCAAGUAGACAGCCACAUCCGGUUUCGUCAGGUCCAUACACGUGUCGCUGCAACUACAGACGCAAAUGGAGACGCCACUGUUUCACGUAGUGAACGGCAGCAAGUUCCAUGACUAUGAGCCGGUGAAGAGCCCACCUGGGCUGUUGCUGGUGUAUGUGCUGUUAUCAUCAUCAUCUCAUUAAUUUUGGAGAAGGUCCUACACAAAGUUCGAAAAUUCUGCACCUAAAAAGAAAUGGAGGGCACGACAAAAGAAGAAGAAAAUGGAGGAAAGGAAUAAAGAAAGAAAAAGGUGUUAGUGGAAUUGUAAACAAUUCCACAAAGAAGUGGAAGACUAUUCUGCACCUAAAAAGAAAUGGAGGGCACGACAAAAGAAAAAAAAAAUGGAUGUCUAGAGAAAAGCAGAAAGUAAAAGCAAAAAGCAAAAGAAGAUAUAAAGAAGUAGACAUAAUUGCAGUGGUGAUGACAUGUAGAAAAGGGAAUUAUGGGCGUGACCCAUUGAGCAGAGGGUGGGCUUUAUUUUUGAAUGAUGUGAUUUAUUUUUUUUAUCUCUAAGAAAUAUCUGUAUAAACCACAUCAGAGGGUAAUAAUACAAAAAAAAAAAAAAACGGCAAAGCCCAAAAUUAAUGGGCUGGCAUGUCAUGGAGGGCGAAUGCCCAUAAGCCCAAAAUAGCACCAACCAGGUGACCAAAAGUAUGCCCAGUACUCCAAAAAUUAUUCGGCAACUUGCCUCUAUUAUCACCAACCAGGUGACCAAAAGUACGCCCAGUACUCCAAAAUUAUUCGGCAACCUGCCGCUAUUACCACCAACCAGGUGAUGAAAUGUACAACCCGUACUCCAAUAUCAUUUGGCAACCAACCAUUCAUACCACCAACCAGGUGAUGAAAUGUACAAACCGUACUCUAAAAUAAUUUGGCAAUUAGCCAUUUAUGCCACCAACCAGGUGAUCAAAAGUACACCCAGUACUUCAAAAUUAUACAUGAGCACUACUCAUGUCAUUCGUACAUAGACAUUCAUGAGCAUCACUCAUAUCAAUCAUACAUAAACAUUUAUGAGCAUCACUCAUGUUAACAUUCAUGAGCAUCACUCAUGUUAACAUCCAUGAGCAUCACUCAUGUCAAUCAAACAUUCAUGAGCAUCACUCAUGACAAUCAGCUUCAAAAGUUUCAUUUACAAAGCCUUAGCUUCAAAAGAGUCAUUUACAAAAGCUCUAGCUUCAAAAGCUUCAUUUACAGAGCUCCAACUUCAAAAGCUUCAUUUACAAAAGCUCUAGCUUCAAAAACUUCAUUUACAGAGCUCCAGCUUCAAAGCUUCACUUGCAAAGCUUCACCUACAAAGCUUCAGUGCAUGGUCUACAAAGACCGCCUCCGAACAACCGCCAUUUCAGCCCAUACAUGGAUUGAAUUUGAAGUCUCCAGCCAACAUCGUCUAUUGACCGAAGACUUGGGGGACUACAUUAUGUACCAUAUAUUAGGCCUCAACUGGGCCUUAUGAAAAAUACUUGGGGGACUCUAGCCCAUUAUUCAUGUACUGAGGAGCGAGCCCUUAUUUUAUAAAAAAGGACUCCCUCACCAUCAUUAGAGAGCAACGCCGCCAGCUGAACAACCGUCUCGCCGCCAGCAUCAACUCUAGCCUAUUAUUUAUGUAUUGAGGAGCGAGCCCUUAUUCUAUAAGAGGAACUCUCUCACUUUAAUUAGAGAGCACCCAUUAUUCAUGUACUGAGGAACGAGCCCUUAUUUUAUAAAAGGGACUCCCUCACCUUCAUUAGAGAGCAACGCCGCCAGCUGAGCAACCGUCUCACCGUGAGCAUCACUCCGAACCCAUAUUUAUGUAUUGAGGAGCAAGCCCUUAUUCUAUAAAAUAGACUCCCCUCACCACCAUUAGAGAGCAUCAACUCUAACCCAUCAUCCAUGUAUUGAGGAGUGAGCCUUUAUUCUAUAAAAGGGACUCCCUCACCUUCAAACGCUGCAAGCCGAGCUAACCAAGGCAACAUAAGCCACGAGCCGAGCAGCCUCGCAGCGUGUGCUACUUCUAGUUGAGCGUCAUUUUAGAUUGAGCACUGCCUCAUAUCGAACAUCAGUUCAAGACAGCAUCUAGUUACUUCGGCCCACACAUGGACUGAAUUUCAAGUCUCCAGCCAAAAGACUCUCUUGACUGAAGACUUGGGGGACUACUGUUUAUACCAUAUUUAGGGCCUCGUAUUUAGACCUCGUAUAAAUACUCGGGGGACUUAAAUGUAAUUAUGUAAUAAAGGAAGGGGCAAAUAUGUAAUUAGGGGAGGAGCCCUUAUUCUAUAAAAGGGCAUCCUCACCCUCACAAACGGGGGGGGGGGUCUCUCCUCAUCCCUCUCAAAGCUCUCACUCUCAGAGCUCUCUCUCCCUCACUUCUCAGAGAAAUAUAAUACAAUCAGUGUGGACGUAGCCCAAACCUUGGGGUGAACCACGAUACAUCUUGUGUCAUUUACAUUACUUGCAGAUUCACGGUCGGAUUUACGUUGUUCCAAGACCUCCGGUUUUGUGCAUCAACACCUUUCAUAGUCGGAUGGAGCAAAAUAUACUUCUUUCGUAUUUUCCCUAUGAAACCAACUUCAAAACUGAUAUACAAAUUAAAAAAUUUCAAACAUUCAAUUACCCAAAAACCACAGUGGUGGAAAUCAAGGCCGGCCCUAAGAAUUUAAGGGCCCUAUGCAAGAUUUAGAUGGAGGCCCUUCAUUUUUUAAUACUGUAUUUUCUUUGUUAUUUUUUUUUUCAAUUUGUAUCUAUAGAAUUUAAAUACUACAAAUUAGAGCACCACUUUGAGUGGACAAUUGAGUGUUUCUUGUCUUGAAAGGUCUUCAGUUUGAAAUAUGUUGCAUGGUUUUUUGUGUAAAACUUAACAACUUUUUAAGUUAAUAAAUUUGCAAAACUUAAAAAUAGCAUUUUUUUUCAAUUUGUAUCCAUAAAAUUUAAAUACUACAAAUUAGAGCACCACUUUGAGUGGACAAAAGUGUUUCUUGUCUUGAAGGGUCUUCAGUUUGAAAUAUGUUGCAUGAUUUUUUGUGUAAAACUUAUCAACUUUUUAAGUUAAUAAAUUUGCAAAACUUAAAAAUAGCAAAAUGGUUCUACAAGGACUUGGACUUGGGCCAUGUACAAGAAGAUAGAAUGCCUACACCACUAGCACUAGUGUGGUGAUUAUUAUUAUUUUGCACAUUUAAGUAUAUAAUAGGUAUCUGUUUACAUGUAAAGAAACUUUGGAGGCCCUUCCGAAUUUGGGGCCUUGUGCGGUGGCACUUUUUGCACACUCUCAGGGCCGGCUCUGGUGGAAAUGAAUUGAGCCAUUGCAUGACAGCGUGUUUUCGAACCCCAUCGGUGACUAAUCUAAUAAAACUUAUCGUUUGACAAAAAAAAUUCAAUUACCCAGAAACCAAAAAUGGAAAUUUUAUUAAAUUAAAUUAAAAUAAACUCAUUGGCAAAAGGAACAUAAAAAUGAAAAUUUCUACUAAAUUAAUUAAUACAAACUAAUGCGCAAGAGGAGCAUAAACAACCUUUUGAAUUAAUCUAAAGAGAUACAAACUAAAAAUACCGGUUGUGGAGCAAAAAAUAAUCACAAGGCGACACGUGGAUUCUUGGGUAAAAGAGGACAAAAAUACCCUUGAGGCAUACUGGGAUUCCUACGCGCGAGCAACGGGCAAUCAUCCCUCAACCAAGUCAAAAGUGCCCAAAAUAGGUAACAAUUUAAAGCCUAUUUCAUCAAAUCCUUUCUAUAAGGUAAUUCCUAAAACCUAAUUUAUUCUAUAUAUUUUGUAUUCCAUUAUUUAGCUAAUCAAUUAGCUAAAUGAUAUUUUCCUUUCAUAUUCCCUAAAAAUUGAUUAAUUAAGGGAUUAAUUACCUAAUCAAUCCCUUAAUUAUCAAUUAAAACACCCAUUCACACCUAAAACUACUAAGAGGUCGGCUACCUCCCUUUUCCUAACCUUUUUCACUUUUCUCCAUUUUAUUACCCCAUUUAUACAAAUAAUCAAUUUUGUAACUCCUAAUUAAACCUAAAUUAAACCCAAAAAACCCUAGCCACCUCCUAUCCCUAUAAAUAUACUCUCAUUCUCACCAAAAAAGCCAAUUCCAACACUUUGGCAAAAAUCCCAAAAUUCUCUAAACACUCUUUCUCUCUAAAUUCUAACUUUGGCAUCGGAGGUUCUUCGGCCAAACCCCCCCAUUCAUCGAGGGCGCACGAGGCUCUUGGCCUUAACCUAAGGUGUUAAUUGUUUUGUAGGUGCAAAAUUGUCCAAGAUCAAGGAGGAAGAAAUUUGCAUCCACAAAUUGGUGCUUUCAUUGAGAGUUGAAAUCCAUACUCGUAGAAGACUCUCGCACAAAAAGGUUUUUUCUUUAUUUUCUAGUCCAUUUGAAUAUUUUUCAUACGUUCUUAUUAUUAGAUUUUUUUACUUGCAAAGGUUCUUUGAUAAAACGUAAGCAAAAUAUGAUGGCUAGAAAUUUAGAAAAUCCACAAGUGAAAAUUCUAAUGUUCAAGAAAUGGGAUUGCGGAGAUCCGUGAGGCUAAAUGCGACAAUAAGUGGAGCAGCACCACCACCACGAGUUUCCACCAUGGGAACCACCACGGUGGCAGGGUCUAUGGUGCCUUCACCACGGCUCGAGCCAUGCCAUCCAAGGCUCACGGCCCAAGUCGUGCCAUCCAAGUUUGCACGGGCCCAGGCCCAAGCCUCGCAUUCGCAUGCAUCACAUACUAAGCAGCCUGCUCCAGCCAAGCAACCUGCUCUCGCGGCCCAGCCUGCUCUUGCCAAGCAACCUACUCUCACGGCCCAUCCUGCUCCAGUGGGUUUCCAAGUAGCCCAAGUCGGCCCAAGACUAUCUUAACCAUCCGGACCUACCAUCGAGCCGGGGGCAUUCUCACCAUAUUUUUUCAUGGAUUUGACAUUUCCCAACUUAAAUCUCGCGCCCGGAGUCUACCACCCUUCCACUGCCCAAGGAGGCGCAUUCCUUCCAAGCUUUUCCAAUCCAAAUGGCGAACAACACUUGUCUCGACAAGUCAUAGAGUUGACGAGCGCCCUUGCACAACAGACAACCUUGGUGAAUCAACUUUUGCAACGCAUCGGGAUCCAACGUGCCCGGACGAGGUAUCCCGAAGUAGGACAAAGGCAGACAGACCUUUUCAGCAGUGUCUCGGUAAGCAGCCACUCGACUAGCCACAAGCCGAACGUUUGGGCAGUGUACAUUCCCGUCUUAGCGCGCGGAGAAGCAUGCACUCUCGACUAGGCCCACGGAUGAGCAUACAUUCACAGUUGGGGUCAUACUCCGAUAGUCAACAUGAGUAACCUUCCAGAAAAAUUGUCCAUUCGUGGCUAAGCCCACAAAGAGCAUCAUCCACCUCACAUCAGAGUAGGCAACACGACGGACGGAGAGAAGCAGUCACUCAAUCCAGCUCAAGUUCAACCAGCAGCCUGGGAAAAACUCGUUCGCCUGCUAGGAACGCACCACAUGCACUGCAUCCGCAACAUAGACGAGCCAAACACAUGGAAGAGCAGCCUAGACCAGCAAGUCAUGGCUGGGGGGCAGCCGAGAGCUCCGCUACCCUAACAAAGGCAAAUUCAGGAAGAAGUAGAGAGACUAUUGACCAAGCGAUUGCAUGAUUUCCAACGCAACGAGGUCACCGACGAGGCACUACGACGGAACAUGACCAACAUAAGCAGGUCACCCUUCACAGACGAGAUCGAGCAGGCAGAGCCUCCACGCGAGUUCAGCAUGCCACAUUUCACAUAUUUCAAAGGGGAUGAAGACCCAGAGAGACACUUAAAGCGCUACCGAAGCGCAAUGAUCCUUUAUUGAAACAACGAUGAUCUCAUAUGUAAGAUAUUCGCCACCACUCUACAAGGCGAGGUGCAAGAUUGGUUCUACACCCUACCGCCAUAAUCCAUCCAGAAUUUCUACGAACUUUCUUUGGUUUUCACCAAAGAAUAUUCAUCUUAUCGCCCGAUCAAAAAGAAGGUUGACCAUUUGUUCGACAUCAAGAAGAACCCAAAGGAAUCGCUUCGCGACUAUGUGAGGAGGUUCAAAGUAGAGAAGGCAAAAAUAGUCGGAUGCAACGACUCGAUAGCUAAAGCAGUCUUCCAAAAAGGACUUCCAGCAGACCACCCGCUAUUCAAAAAAUUGAUCAUGAAAGAAGAUCUAACUCUAGCAGACUCUUUUACUUUGGCAGAGAAGCAUGCAUUUUGGGAUGAGGCUUGCCAAUGCACAUUCAAGGACUUGAAGAAGUACCCGACAUCACUUCCAUAGAAGCAGCGGAUGACUUAUUCGCAUGUUUGACGGUAUCUAAAGUAGCAAUAAGCUCUACCAUCAUGCGAGAAGAGCUGGGGGCCCGACUACCUGUAUUCUACAGUUCGAUGCUAUUAAAAAUUUAAAAGCUGACUUUGGCGAUAAUUGUGUAACCCAAAAGCUUAAGUUUUACCUUCAAACGCAAGCAGUCAUCAUCAUGACGCACUAUUCCACCGAAUCCAAACCGACAACGAUAAAGGCGUAGACCCUGCCAGAUGCAAAGUUUUCUGACGAACGUAAGAACUCAGCCUAACGACGCCCCGAAGGCAGUCGAGCACACUUUGGCCACACCUGCUCCCUCAAUGGAGAUUUUUGGGGUUUGCAUGUCGACGGCGCAUCCAACUACGAAAGCUCGCGAGUAGUCGUGGUUCUUGCCACCCCAGACAUUUCAAUGCUCAAGCAGGCGAUCACUCUAAACUUCAAAGCAUCUAACAACGAAGCAGAGUACGAAGCCCCACUAGCAGACCUUCAACUGACAAAAGACUUGGUGGUGAACAAGCUUUCCAUUCAUUCCGAGUUCUAGCUAAUCACCAGCCAGACUACCAGGGGCAAAUGCAUGAUGAUCGUGGAAACCGACUACUUCACCAAAUAAGUAGAAGCAGAGCCCAUGACGAUCAUGUUUCAGACAGACAUAGAGCGCUUCAUAUGAAGGAGUAUCAUUUGUCGAUUUGGCAUCCCUUAAUCUAUCGUCACCGACAACGGCCCGUAAUUUAUGGGCAAAGAUUUGGUGAAGUUAUUCAAAAAAUAAGGCAUCAAGUAGCACAUGUCUACGCCAAGAUAUCCUCAAGGCAAUAGGCGGGCCAAAGCAUCUACUAAGAUGAUCCUCGACUGCCAUAAGAAAUCCCCCACCAAUAAGAAAAGAAAAUGGCCAGACGAACUCCAAGGAUGUCUAUGGGCAUAUCGCACAACCAAAAGACGAGCAACCGAAAGUAGAUGGCCACAAGCUUAGAUCUGGCAGAAGAGAGUCGCGAACAGACUAUCAUUCGCAUUGCAGCCUACCAGCAUCAGCUCCUCUCCAGCUACAACAAAAGGGCCAAGAUCCGGCAGUUCCAACCCGGAGAUCUGGUCAUAAGAAAAACCUUAAUCACUGCCAGCAGAAAAGGCUCCAAAAAUAUGGAUCCCAUAUGGGAAAGUCCGUACAAGAUCAGCAGAGUAGGUGGCAAGAACAAUUACACCCUCGCCACCAUAAAACGACUAAAAGAUCAAAAAACAGUGGAACGCCUACAAUCUGAGGAAGUACCAUGUGUGACAUUUCGCUACAUCAAAGCCCGAAGACUCAAGCAGCUCGACGGGCACUACCUCACCAGCCGAGGAUUAUCCAGUUGUUAUGCAGUUAUUACCUUACAUCUAAGUUCUCGUUCGUUUAACUCAUUUUUCAAUGAGGAAUUCAUAAGUAAUCACGACUUGGCUUGGUUGCAUGCUUACAACAACUGAUCACUCCUGCACUUCAAAAGAAGACCGCGCCCUUCUUAGGGACUUACUGCAGGAAUUGCGCCCCCCGAAGGACCAACCAUGCUCUUCAGUGCGAGAGGGUAAACUAAUUGCUCUCCAACGCGAGAGGGUAAACCAAUUCCCCGACACCCACAUGGGUCAGCUCUCCAAGAACGGGAGGAUAAACUCUACACUCUGAAUAUCCAGACGUGGAUGAGCCGGGCUGCCCUAGUAUAACUAGAUGCACGAUGGCUUGCGCUGGGAUUCCUAGAAGUAGCCGCAAUGGUCUUUUUCAAGGCUUAGCUAACUGAAGGAUUUUGGGUCUCUUGGCCUAAUCCGUGGGGAACCGGGCCCUAGAGACGGAGAGGGCACAUUACACAGUACAUCCGAUGGACGACUGCCCUGGAAUCCUAAAGCUGCUACCGAGUGCACUAAGGUAGCCUACGGAUUCCAGAAGACUGCCUACGGCUUGCCCUUCGAGCAGUAAAGCUGCACUAGACUUAUACAACCACACAUUCUUGUGAAAGGUUAAACAAGCUAGCACGCAUAUACGAAGUUUUAUCCACUGCCGACAUGCUACGUAGUCGAUAAGCUUCACCUCUGCUAAGCGCGGAACAACCUACACCAAGUCCUAAAGUGUUGUGAUACUUGCUACGCAACCUACGGAAUUGGAGAAAGUCAAGGUUAACAGCCUAGUGGUUACGCGGACUUGUCUGCUUCUAUAAGUAAGGCAUCCGGCUGCCAACCCAAUGGCUAACAACUUUGCAAAGUUCUACACCAAAACCUACGGCUGCAUAGGCUACAUGAGCAUGUCUGCUUAUAAAAAAAUAGCAUGCUUGCCACUGGUCUAUCAAGUCUAAAGGUUAGGGCAUGAACAAAAGAAGCAAAAAUGAAGAAAAGCUAAGGAAAACAUGUUUAUAAACGACUAGCAAAGGCCGAAAGAGUUCAAGCAAAACAAGAGCUACAAAGAAAAUCUUAAAGGUUGCCUAGAUGACUACACUUUAGCAGCCUGGACAUCCGACGACUAUUCGGUCGCCACAUCUUCAGCAGCCGCGAAGCUCUUAGCAGCGGCAUCACCCCCGACUGCUCCAGCCUGGGCACCAACUUCUCCAACUACUUCACCAAUACCAACAUGGACGCGCUGCAGCUCAUCCACUUCUUUCUUCAAACUUUCGUUGAUAUUCAGUACACCUUGAAGUUCCAACAUUUGGGGUUCAAGCCUAUCGACGAUUCUCUUGAAGUGGAUCACUUGAUUAUAAGCAGCAAUCAACUUUUCAUCCUUUGCAUAAGCAGGGAAAGAAGUCUUUGGUUUUUUCUAAGCCGUUAUCUCUUGAACAGGCAGGGAAGAUCCCUUUUCCCACCUUCACAUGCAGCAGGAUCCACAGCGGUGAUUGGACGAGCCAAUGCAUCCGCCUUGAUCCUAUUCACCUCUUAUUUUGGGAGCAGCCCAUGUUUGUCCUGACGAAGAGAGUUAAAGUAGCCAACGCCAUUCAUGGUACCUAGCAGGGGAGUUCAACCCAACAUUCCAGCAGCUCAUGAGGCCCACAACCUUUUCAUUUCUCUCAAUCACCUGCCUAGCUCGCGUCAUGUCUAAAAGCCCAAAAAGACAUGAGCCAUGUGAUUCGCCUAGCACUGCGCCACAUCGCCACAAUCCGUGGCCUUAGCCAUACAAGCUGCCUUUGGUUCUAGCCAAGUCGAGCAGUUUAAAGCAGUGGUCCCUGCCACAAUACCUCAUCGGCCCAUGUCGAGCCGACUCCUGGCCCAUGCUAGCCAACAUGCCGCACCACCCCGACGGCUGCCCCAAGGUAGCACCAUCCAAGAAGAAGACAAGGAAAAUUAAUUUUUUCUUACCUCAGUGCGGCAUGAAGAAGACGAAGAAAGCAACGAAAGACGGUCCUUUGCACGUGCAAGAUGUAGAAAAUUGCUAGAGGAGGGGGAACAAAUAUCCUCUAAGCUAUCUCUCUCUUGUAGGAUACAAUAAAUCGUUCUCCAAAGUUGAUUUAAUAACCCACUUAAGGUGGACUUAAAUAGGAUUUGAGAGAAAUUUAUUUCCCUUUCCUAGAAGGAUCUAAUUUCCUAUUAAAGAGAGAAUCUACAUCAAAAUAGGAAGCAGUCCCACGUUUCCUAAAGCAAGAUGAUCUCUACACCUGCUGCAAUUUCCUACGAGCAGCCCAACAGGUGUGGGGGCAUUUGUGGAGCAAAAAAUAAUCACAAGGCGACACGUGGAUUCUUGGGUAAAAGAGGACAAAAAUACCCUUGAGGCAUACUGGGAUUCCUACGCGCGAGCAACGGGCAAUCAUCCCUAAACCAAGUCAAAAGUGCCCAAAAUAGAUAACAAUUUAAUGCCUAUUUCAUCAAAUCCUUUCUAUAAGGUAAUUCCUAAAACCAAAUUUAUUCUAUAUAUUUUGUAUUCCAUUAUUUAGCUAAUCAAUUAGCUAAAUGAUAUUUUCCUUUCAUAUUCCCUAAAAAUUGAUUAAUUAAGGGAUUAAUUACCUAAUCAAUCACUUAAUUAUCAAUUAAAACACCCAUUCACACCUAAAACUACUAAGAGGUCGGCCACCUCCCUUUUCCUAACCUUUUUCACUUUUCUCCAUUUUAUUACCCCAUAUACAAAUAAUCAAUUUUGUAACUCCUAAUUAAACCUAAAUUAAACCCAAAAAACCCAGCCACCUCCUAUCCCUAUAAAUAUACUCUCAUUCUCACCAAAAAAGCCAAUUCCAACACUUUGUAAAAAAUCCCAAAAUUCUCUAAACACUCUUUCUCUUUAAAUUCUAACUUUGGCAUCGGAGGUUUUUCGGCCAAAGCCCCCCCAUUCAUUGUGGGCGCGCGAGGCUCUUGGCCUUAACCUAAGGUGUUAAUUGUUUUGUAGGUGCAAAAUUGUCCAAGAUCAAGGAGGAAGAAAUUUGCAUCCACACGGGUCUUGCCAAGAAUCAUGCAAUUCAACACCAUCAAAUUAAUCGUCCCAUUAGGUAAAGUUUCCGGCUUUGCAACAAAACUCUAUAGUGGUGGAGCCAAAAAACCAGAUUAGGAAGGGCCUUUCAGCCAUAGAAAGAAAUGAGCCUUUAAAAUAUAAUUAAUGACGAGAAAUUAAAGGUUUUGUUUUUUGUAUUGGCAUGGAAAAUUCUAAUAAAACAAGAAUGGUAGAACUUUACAUUUUGUAUAGAAAACUUAGUAUUGAAAUAAUUAUAUCAUAUGAACAAAACUUGUUUCAAGCUUUGAUAAAAAUAAAAAAAAUAAAAAAUAGAUUCGAACAAAAAUCUAAGAUCAUGACUUAAUUAGAUUUUUCUCUAGACUAUUUAGGCCUUUGAUUUAUAUCAACUAGCUAAAAAAAAGUAUGAUUUUUAUAUGGUAAAACGUAAGGCAAAUUAUAACCAAAAAAAAGGAGGGCUUAGUUUUAUUAUGGGGAAAAAUAAGGCAAAGUAUAAGGAUUUUGCUUCCAAUUUAAUCACAGAUUGGAAAUGUGUUCAUCUGUAAUUUGCUAGCAGCAAGAGUUGUUGCUGAUUUUUUCAGCAGUCAAGUUUUGUUCCAAAAAAAUAAACAUCUAAACAGUGUCGGAGCACAAGCAAGUCUCCAACCGAGACCAUUUGGAUAUGCAAAAAGCCAAAAUCCAAUGAGCUACAUGCUCAUUUUGGUAAAAGCUUGCAGACAACAUAUAUAAGACCUGAAAUUUCAAGAUAGGCCAUCACUGGUCUCUAUCUGGCUCCGCCACUGAAACUCUACAAAUAUAAAAAUCAUAACCCAAUUUAGACGAUAAAUUUAUGGAAGCAUAUAAAUAGAGAAAUAAUUUGCUAUUUUAAAAAAUUAUAUCCAUGUAAUCAUAUAAUAUGUAGCAAACCUCGUUGAGAAGAAAUUGAGAAUUUUGUAAGAUGAAGACUUUGUGCACAUUUAUUUAUUUAUUUUUUCUGAUUUCCUAGAAUGAAAUGAGAUUUGGGGGAGGAUAUAUCGGCAGUUUAGUUUGAUAGAAGCUACUUUUUGCUCAACGUGGGUGCCGUUUUUCCAUUUUUCACAUUCAAUUUUUUUAUUGAGGGUUCAUCACGUCCAUUUUUUAAUUUUAUUUUCAUGUUUACAAUCAUCCUGCGUUUUUUUUAAUUGUAUUUUCUUAUUAUUAUACAUUUUAAUGGGUGGGAUCUUAAUCUCUCUCCUAAAAUGGAGGAGGAGUGGGGUUAAUAUCUCCUUAAUCAGCAUGUCUUAAAUGAAAGAGCAGUAUGGCUAAUCUCUCCUUAAUCGGCAUGUCUUCCCCCUUUUUUUUUAUUUUUUUUCCUUUUUUUCUUCUAAUAAAAGGAAUUAAAUAUUUUUUUUCUUUACACAAUUGCCCUUACUUUUUUUUUUUCAUAUUCUAGAAUAUGCCCACAAACAAAUUGUGUGGACAUUUUUACUUUUGUUUUUAAAAUUGAGGGAGAGAGGAAGAGAGUGAAAGAAAAACGUGGGAAUGGGGAGAGAUGGAUAGAGGUUUAUUUUUUUAUAUAUAUUUUUUUAAUUAGAGAUGAUAAAAUUACAUGUAUGUGAUGUUUAAACAAAACAAAAAAAUAAAUUUUUGUUUUAUGAAAUUAUGUUAUUGUCCUUAACUUUUUUUGUAGUGAUAAAAACAAAUGUCUUUUUCACAUUUUUUGGGUUGAUAAAGAAGGUUUCAAUAAUAUAGUACAUAUUUUGUAUCAAUAUGAUAAGUCGGUUUACAAGCAUUUUUAGUCCAAGUGUAAUGGUUGGGUUCAAGCUUAAAAUUUAAGUUUUAAAUCCCCCGAAAGCAUUUCCAGUCAUUAGGUUUUAUUAGGUCUUGGUGAGAAAAAAAACACCAUUGGCCCAGAUUCCGCCCACAAUUUAAUAUUUGUACUUAUCAAUUGACAUUCUUUCAUUUUAUUUUUUUUAGUUGAAAAAUUUUAUGAACUUUUGCACCGUUAUAUUUAAAUUAAGAUACUGCAAGUCUCUUAACUUGAAAAGAGAAAAAAGCAUAAACCCUAUUAAACCAUUAUUUAACUAAUAAAAUAGUAUAUAAUAAAGAAGUUAAUAGAAAACCUAUCGUAAAUACAAACAGAAUGACUUGCACCAAAGCCUAUUAAACCAAAAAGAAAUAAUGAGAAUGUAGAGAGGAUAUUAAUAUUUGUAAAUGCAAAGAAGUAAAUGAAACAUACACCCACUACUGGUCCAAAUUUGUAAUCCUUAUUUUAGAUUGUUAAAAUGAAACUCAAAAUGAACGAUGCUAAGUAUACAUGUAUGCUGUCUUUGCUUGCGAAACUCAAGCAGUUUACAAAAGCUAAGAAACUCUAUACUGAAUAGAAUUCUGUUUCGGAGACACUAGGGUUUCAAAUAUACUCCUUGCAGCAUACAUCAAAGAAAACCAAACGAAAGGACUGAAACCUUUCAUAGUCGGAUGGAGCAGAAUAUACUUCUUCCGUAUUUUCCCUAUGAAACCAACUUCAAAACUGAUUAUACAAAUUAAAAAUUUUCAAACAUUCAAUUACCUAGAAACCACAGUGGUGGAAAUGAAUUGAGCCAUUGCAUGAUAGCGUGUCUUCGAACCACAUCGGUGGCUAAUCUAAUAAAACUUAUCGUUUGACAAAAAAAAUUCAAUUACCCAGAAACCAAAAAUGGAAAUUUUAUUAAAUUAAAUUAAAAUAAACUCAUUGACAAAAGGAACAUAAAAAUGAAAAUUUCUACUAAAUUAAUUAAUACAAACUAAUGCACAAGAGGAGCAUAAACAACCUUUUGAAUUAAUCUAAAGAGAUACAAACUAAAAAUACCGGUCUUGCCAAGAAUCAUGCAAUUCAACACCAUCAAAUUAAUCGUCCCAUUAGGUAAAGUUUCCGGCUUUGCAACAAAACUCUAUAGUGGUGGAGCCAGAAAACCAGAUUAGGAAGGGCCUUAGAAAUUAGCCUUUAAAAUAUAAUUAAUGAAGAGAAAUUAAAGGUUUUGUUUUUUGUAUUGGCAUGGAAAAUUCUAAUAAAACAAGAAUGGUAGAACUUUACAUUUUGUAUAGCAAACUUAGUAUUGAAAUCAUUAUAUCAUAUGAACAAAACUUGUUUCAAGCUUUGAUAAAAAAUAAAAAACAGAUUUGAACAAAAAUCUAUGAUCAUGACUUAAAUUAGAUUUUUCUCUAGAAUAUUUAGGCCUUUGAUUUAUAUCAACUAGCUAAAAAAAAGUAUGAUUUUUAUAUGGUAAAACGUAAGGCAAAUUAUAACAAAAAAAAAGGAGGGCUUAGUUUUAUUAUCGGGAAAAAUAAGGCAAAUUAUAAGGAUUUUUGCUUCCAAUUUAAUCACAGAUUGGACACGUAUCCAUCUGUAAUGUGCUAGCAGCAAGAGCUGUUGCUGAUUUUUUUAGCAGCCAAGUUUUGUUCUAAAAAAAAAUCUAAAAAGUGUCAGAGCACAAGCAAGUCUCCAACCGAGACCAUUUGGAUAUGCAAAACGCCAAAAUCCAAUGAGCUGCAUGCUCAUUUUGGUAAAAGCUUGUAGACAGCAUGUAUAAGACCUGAAAUUUUAAGAUAGGCCUGGGCCAUCACUAGUCUCUAUCUGGCUCCGCCACUGAAACUCUACAAACAUAAAAAUCAUAACCCAAUUUAGACGUUAAAUUUAUGGAGGCAUAUAAAUAGAGAAAUAAUUCGCUAUUUAAAAAAAAAUCUAUCCGUGUAAUCAUAUAAUAUGUAGCAAACCUUGUUGAGAAGAAAUUACGAAUUUUGUAAGAUGAAGACUUUGUGCACAUUUAUUUUUUCUGAUUUCCUGGAUUGAAAUGAGAUUUGUGGAAAGAUAUAUCGGCAGUUUAGUUUGAUAGAAGCUAUGUUUUGCUCAACGUGGGUGCAGUUUUUCCAUUUUUCACAUUCAAUUUUUUUUUAUUGAGGGUUCAUCACGUCCCUUUUUUAAUUUUAUUUUCAUGUUUACAAUCAUCCUGCGUUUUUUUUAAUUGUAUUUUCUUAUUAUUAUACAUUUUAUGGGAUAUUAAUCUCUCUCCUAAAAUGGAGGAGGAGUGGGGUUAAUCUCUCCUUAAUCAGCAUGUCUUAAAUGAAAGAGCAGUGGGGCUAAUCUUUCCUUAAUCGGCAUGUCUUCCCCCUUUUUUAUUUUUUAUUUUUUUUCCUUUUUUUCUUCUAAUAAAAGGAUUUUUUUUCUUUACACAAUUGCCCUUACCUUUUUUUUUGAUAUACUAGUAUAUGCCCACAAACAAAUUGCGAGAAUUUUUUACUUUUGUUUUCAAAAUUAAUGGAGAGAGGAAGAGAGCGAAAGAAAAAUGUGGGAAUGGGGAGAGGUGGACAGAGGUUUAUUUUUUAUUUUUUUUUAAAUUAGAGAUGAUAAAUUCACAUGUAGGUGUGGUUUAAACAAAAAAAGUAAAAUUUUUAUUUGUGAAAUUACGUUAUUGUCCUUUUUUUUGUGAUAGAAAACAAAUGUCUUUUCAUACUCUUUUAGUUGACAAAGAAAGUUUCAAUAAUGUGGUAUAUAUUUUGUAUCAUUAUGAUAAUUCAGUUUACAAGAGUUUUUAGUUCGAGUGUAAUGAUUGUGUUAAAGCGUAAAAUUUAAGUUUUAAAUCCCCUAAAAGCAUUUCCCAUCAUUAGGUUUUAUUAAGUCUUGGUGAGAAAAAAAACCAUUAGCCCAAAUUCCGUCCACAAUUCAAGCCAUAACCGUUGGAGAAAAAAACUGUGUAUGGGUUAUGGCUUAAAAUUUUAAGCUUUAACUCACAUCAUUGCACCUGGUCUUCAAUUGGUUUGUAAUGCUCAUAAGCGUUUGUUCUACAAGUGCUUUCAUAGAGAAACAUUGGAUCUUUUAUUAAAUGUUCAAAUACUUAUUGGAAAAUCACUUGGAAGUGCUUCCUAAAUCAUCGGUUGCUAAAUGCGUUUCUAUAAAACGCUUCUAUGAUACAUAAGUAGUUCACAAAUGCUUCUAAUUACAAUUUUCUUUCUCGACAACCAUAAAGACUUCUGAUUGCCUUUGUCAAUAUAAUUUAUAACCGCUUACGGGUCUUAGAAGUGUUUUUCCUAAAGAAGCUGCCAUGUGAUUUUUUCAUAAAGUAGUUGGAUUUUCAAUAAGAUUUUUAGAUGAGUUUUUCUAAAGAAGCUGCUAUACAGGCCGUAUUCUUUUGGAUGAGUGCUGUGAUCCGUAUCCCAUAUCUGCAUCUGUACCACAUCGUCUGCUAGAUUGAGACGAGAAUAAGUCCUUGAAUCCACGACGUACUUAUCUAGCUUUGCUAAUGUUUACAUCCCGACUACCAUGAAAGCAUAAUAAAGUUAUGGCGGGUGCCCGGUGAAUAUAUGAGUAUCGAACAACUAAAGCACGCAGAAGUAUAAGCCGGACUCACAAGUCGGCAAACGCUCAUGCUUGUAAUCGAAGGGAGUCAGGGGACUGCGCUACAGAACUAACAGCCUCCUUAGCCUCAGCAGACUCAGCUGUUUUGCUGACUUAGUUCUGUAAUCGACAGCUUCCUUCCGUCAUUCCUGACUGCCAUGUAAGCCUCUCGCGCAGGUGAAGGUGAGUUUUAAUGGCAUGGCGGCAGGCCAUUCUGUCCCUCCCACCCUAAGUGGGGCCUCUGAGAAUCCCAAUUGCUUGAGCAGGAGGAAGAACAGAGAAGAUGGUUUUGGAGAAGGUAAACAGGUAAAAAGAACAUAAAAGAUAAAAUUCAAACAAGAUCAAACGGUGAAUCUAAGAGAGAAUUUAGAAAGAAAAUAGGCUUCAUUGGCAAAAUACUGGAAUACAAUGUUGAACAAAAUGACCAAGAUCACUAAACGUCCUACAUCUUGGAUUUUAGAAUACCAUAAAAAAAGUACCAAAUUUCAAAACUUAAACUAAGAAACACAUCUUGGCUCAACAAAAACAGCUACAUCGACUUCUUCCAUCUUGGGACCAGCACUGCUGCCACCAGCAGGAGGAACAUCUUCAUCCAUGGCACCACCGACAUCAGGUCUGCCAGCCCUGGUGCACCUUGGAAAUGAUCGGAUUGCAGAUGCUCUCCAGCUCCUUCAGCUUGUCCUCAAACUCGUCAGCCUCAGCAAGCUGGUUUUCAUCAAGCCAUUGAAUAGCCUGGUUGGUCUGGUCACUCGCAUCCUUGAUCUUCUUGAUCGUGUUCAUCAUGUUGAUAGCAUAAAUCACCAAAGUCUUCCCCAUGUUGCAGGCAUAAUUCUCCAAAGCAAUCUUGGCCUCCACCUUCUUCUUGUGCUUCUCAUCUUCUGACAUGUACUUCUUAGCCUCUUGAACCAUUUUCUCCAUUUCUUCCUUCGACAAUCUUCCCAUGUAAUUGGUGAUGGUAAUCUUCUUCUUCUGCUCUGUAGUCCUGUCUUUAGCAGAGACGUUGAAGAUACCGUUGGCAUCAAUACCAAAGCAGACAGUGAUUUGCGGAACACCCCUUGGAGCAAGAGGAAUGCCAGAAAGCUCAAAUUUUCCCAACAAGUUGUUAUUGCGAGUCCUUGUCCUUUCACCCUCAUAUACUUGGAUCAAGAUACCAGGCUGAUUGUCUGAGUAGGUAGAGAAGACUUGUUCCUUCUUGGUUGGAACGGUUGUGUUCCUUGGAAUAAACACAGUCAUCACACCUCCGGCAGUCUCCAAACCAAGGGACAAAGGAGUGACAUCCAGAACCAAUAAAUCCUUCACCUUCUUGUUACCCUCACCGCUCAAGAUGGCAGCCUGCACAGCGGCGCCAUAACCAACAGCCUCGUCUGGGUUGAUGCUUCUGCACAGCUCUUUGCCCUCGAAGAAGUCCUGCAACAACUGCUGCACCUUUGGAAUCCUAGUAGAACCGCCCACUAGCACAACAUCAUGGACCGAGCACUUGUCCAUCUUUGAAUCUCUCAAACACUUCUCAACGGGCUUCACACACUUUCUGAAAAGAUCCAUGUUAAGCUCUUCAAACCUAGCACGGGUAAUGGUUGAGUAGAAAUCGACACCCUCGUACAAAGAAUCGAUCCCAAUUGUGGUCUGAGAAGUGGAUGAGAGAGUCCUCUUUGCGCUCUCACAAGCAGUUCUUAACCUCCUAAGGGCUCUUGCGCUGCUGCUGAUGUCCUUCUUGUUUUUCCUCUUGAACUCUUGAACAAAGUGAUUCACCAUUCUGUUGUCGAAAUCUUCUCCUCCCAAGUGGGUGUCGCCGGCAGUUGCCUUCACUUGAAAGAUACCCUCUUCACCUGUGAGCAGGGAGACAUCAAAAGUGCCUCCGCCAAGAUCGAAAAUCAAGACAUUCUUCUCCCCAACGCUGGUUGCCUUCUUGUCAAGACCGUAUGCAAAAGCGGCAGCGGUGGGCUCAUUCAUAAUACGCAGAACAUUGAGGCCGGCAAUGACCCCAGCAUCCUUCGUGGCCUGACGCUGAGAAUCGUUGAAGUAAGCCGGGACAGCAACAACGGCAUUCUUUAUAGAUGAGCCAAGAUAGGCCUCAGCAAUCUCACGCAUCUUGAAGAGAACCAUGGAGGAAAUUUCUUCAGCAGUGAACUGCUUCUCUUCGCCCUUGUAUGUGACAACAAUCAUGGGCUUGUCACCGGGGCCGGAAAUGACCUUGAAAGGCCAAUGCUCCAUGUCCCUCUGAACAGAAGGGUCAGAGAAUCUCCUACCAAUCAACCGCUUGGCAUCUGAAAAAUUAACCAAGCUCGUUAAAAAAUACUAAUUUAUUAAUAAUUCAUAACAUAGAACAAGCUACAAUAUCAAGCUAAAUCAAUUAAAACUUAUCAAAAAUAAAAGUAACCAAAUAGAUCAUGCCAGACACUAAAAACUCGGAAAGCUUUUUUAAAUGGGUUUUUAUUACAAACAGUCCCUAAAAUUGAUUCAACUCAUCAAGAUGAUCCUUGAAAUUGAAAAUCGAUCAAUUUGGUAUAUGAAAAUGGGGGGUCAGAAAUCAAUGUGAUCAUUCUGUCACAAUUCCGUCAAACUCUAUUAUGUGUUGAUGUGGCACGUAAGUGGGUCUUACAAGACUAAUGAAUAUUGCCAUAUGGAUUAGAAAUACUUAAAAUAAUUAAAAAUAUAUAUUUUUGGAUAAUUACAAAAAAAAAAAAAAAAAAAAAAAAAAAAAACAGUCAUCUUCUUCUCCCACCCAAGGAAGCUGCACCCCUCCACUUCGGCUCCGAAUCAGAAACUUCAUGCCUGAUAUCUAGAAGCCCCAAAGCCCUUAAUAUCGCAUCCACCGCACAAUGAAGUGACACAUCCCCAUAAUUCGAAUACAAAAUUCAAAAAUUAAAUCGAAAAUGUAAUAAAAUAAAUUAAAAAAAUAUGAAAUUACGGGAAGAAAAAGCAGAUUAAUGGAGGAAUACAUUCAUCUUUUAUUUUAAUUUUUAUUUAUUUAUAAGUUUUUAAUUAUAUAAAUAAUUUUUUAAUUAUUUAAAUAUUUUAAAUCCACAGAGCAAUAUUUAAUUAUAUUUGUGGCACCUGUGCCACAAAGAAUAAGAAUUUUUGACGUAAUUGUAACGGAAUGACCACAUUGAUUAGCGACAUCAAUUUUCAGAGAAUAUUAACCUGCAAAGUUCAAAAAAUAAUUAAAAAAUAAAAAAUAAAAAAUAAACCUGCAAAAUUAUUUAUCACACCCAGCCUAAAAAAAUAAUUGUGUUUGGGAUAAAAUCUGAACUUUGGGCCAGAGAGAAAGUCGGCCCAAACCCAAGGCCCAGAGGAAAACUUAGGAGGCAGGAAAGAGGCUUUCGGCUGGGCACAAGUUACAAAGGCCACCUGCUUACCUGCUCAAAGACCACAGGGGGUAGGCUAUUCAGUCACUACAUAGCCCAAUAAAGUACUUUAUUGGUGGCAUUCAUGUAAAAAAGCUAGUGAGUCAUCACCAAACCGCAUUCGGGCACCGCUAUUGCUACAGGAACCCAAGCUGAAGUCGUCUAUAAAAGGAGGAAGAGAAGACAGAAUUAAAGACACUCAAACAAACAAACAAAAGCCAAAACUCUGCUCAAGCCAGAUUUGCCUUCAACGAAGCUGUAGUCAGCACAAGCCUUCAUCCCAUUCGGGAUAAACCUUCCCAAACCCCUGUAAUAGCUCUGCUACCUUGUUCAUGGUGGUAUCGAUUCAUUUUGUAUCCUCUUCUCCCCCGUCAACCCCUCUAAAAACUUUCAGACCUCUGACAGAGCCACAAAGAUAGAUUUUGUAAGAAGUUCAGCCUUGGCCGAUAAGGUUCAAACUUACCCGACUAUCUUUGCUCUGUCUUUGUCUUUUCUUUCUUUUAAAAGCACAAUAACAUGUUAUAUAUUCCCAAUUAUAUACAAGUUAUUUCUAGCAAAGUCAUAAUGAAAAUGAGUCUUCAGCACUUGAAUCCGAUCUGAAUCGCGUCAGAGUUCAAAUCAGAUCUAAGUCUUAAGCCCGCGGGCAUGUAAUUUAAAGAUCAGUAAAGUCCUUGGCCUCAAGGCAUAAAAAAGAACUCUAUGUGGACUCAACCCAUCCACGACAAUCCUUGAUAAGCGAGAAGUCCGAAGUUACUUGGGGCGCAAGUAAUCAAUCUAUUUCUCCGUUUUGUUGCUAUUAUAUCUUGAUUCGUAGAAAAGGCUUAAGCACGGAGUGAAUUCUGAUAGAAAGCCUCAAGGCCUACACCUAAGGCCCCCUAAGGCCCCACGAAGGCAUCUAUUUAGCUUCAUUUCAUGUUGCGGUCUAGUUGGUCCGAGUAUAAGGAUUAACUCUGAUGGGAAGCCUCAAGGCCUAUACCUAAGGCCCUACAAAGGCACUCAUUUGGGUUCGUCCUACCUCUUGGAUUCAGAUAAUCAAAGGUAUAAUAGUGAUAAGACUCUGGCAACCAUAAAAGACCAAAUAUGAUACAUCCAAGCGCUGGUUUAGGUUGACAGGAAGCCUCAAGGCCUAUACCUAAGGCCCCACAAAGGCACCUGUUAUAUCUAACUUGGUUUCUCGGGCGUAUACAUAUUCAAUCAAAGCUUAACACCCAUUCAACAUCUGCCAUACUAAAGAUGGCAGUGGCACGCCUGAGCACGACAAAGUUAAUCUUGAUUGUGAGCCUUAAGGCCUACACCUAAGGCCCCACAAAGGCACCCUUUCAAAUUAACUUUGUCCUUCUCUUUCAGAACUGCCCGACGAGCCUUGCCCGAAGUGUGUCUUGCCCGACCAAGAUCUGCCCGACAAAGGCUUGCCCAAGCGAGUCCGAGAAGAAAGCAGAAGUACGACAGAUACCCUCAACCGACGCCAUUCUCCCAGGGGAGCUGUGUACUCGUCCGCCAGGAGAUUCCUGCGACGAACAUAGUUUUGGCACGCCCGGUGGGACAAGAAACAGCUACACUUCUAAGAUCUUACAUGUCCAAAAAAGAGAAGCUAUAAACUUGCCAAAAAAGAAGCCAAGAAGGAUCUUUUCCAGAUGACAGAACAAUCAGAAAAUCCUUUAUCCCCAUCCGGACAGGUGGUCUCAGGUAGUUCGACUGCAUCUGAGAAAUCACAGGGGGAAGGGAUUAAUGAAGAACUGCAAGCUACAAUGAUCCAAGUGUUGAAAAGCAUGGAAAGAAUUUCCUUGGAGACUAAGGGAGAAGUAAAGCAGACUCUGCAUGCUUACAGGAAAUCUACAAAGGAGGCUGGAUUUGGAGUUCUCUACUCCAAAGGGUGCUCAAGGAAGUGGAAUGAGUCCAGUUGUUAUAAGAAGUGAGCCAAUCAUUUCUUUGUUUCCACUACUAGAAGAAGAAAAGGAUAGGGGAAAGAAGAAGGUGAUACCUGAAGAAAGUCAAGCAGUGAUGGAGUCAGCUUCAGAAAAGGAGUUUCCCAGCUUCCCAUUAUUAUCAUUUAAUAAUAGGAGGCAGAGCGAACAAGAAAGAAUGAAGUUUGGACUGCCAGCCACGGCUGGGAGAAACUAGCGGGAAAGAAACAACCACUACUACGUCAGAUAAACCUCUACCUUAUAGGCCACCCCCGAUGGUCAACAAAGGUGGAGGAUCUAACUGGAGAAAAUCUGAAACCAAGAGGGAAGCAAACGCGGGCAAUGACCGGAGUCCGAAGAUUGAGUCAGCUAUCCAUGGCCAGAAUGAUAAUUUAGCUACUCAGCAACUAAGAGAAGAAUUGGCUGAGUUAAAGAAGAACGGUGAUUCAAAACGCCCAGCCUCGAGUUCGUCCAGUAUUCAGGGUUACCUACCAGAAGCCAUAUCCUGAAUAUAUCGAUGAGUUAAAUCCAUUCCCUCUUAAUUUCAAGAUGCCCGCAUUCCCGACUUUCACAGGGGAAGAUAGCAGUGUGUCCUCCAGAGAUCGUAUUUUCAAAUUUUCUAAUCACUGUGUGGCGUAUGAGGACAAUCCAAACUACAAAUUGAGGUUGUUUGGAAAUUCACUAGCAGGAUUGGCAUCUCAAUGGUAUUCUCUAUUACCCCCCAAUUCCAUUGCUAACUGGGGGCAAAUGGAGAUGGCUUUCCAUGAACAGCUCUACAGGAUAGAGCCAGAGCUCACCAUUAAUGAUCUGGUAGAAGUGAAACAAUAUGAUCAUGAGUCCACCGAAGAUUUUAUGAUGAGGUUCAGGAGGACAAGGAUGAGAUGUCAGUUCCCUGUCAACCAGGCACAGCUCAUAUCCAUUGCUCAAAGGGCUUUAAAAUUACCUUUGAGAAAGAGGUUCUAUGAUGCACAGUUUAAUGAGCUACAAGAGUUGGUGAUUGCUGCUACUAAGUAUGAGAGGCUGUUACAGGAGGAACAGCAGGUAAAACAUACUUCCAAAACUCCUCCGUUCUACAAAAAUAAAGCUACUAUUCACCAUGUAGAAGUAGGGGAAGCCGGACCCGAAUGCAAAGAUGAUCAUGAGGACAAGAGUAUAGAUGUAUGUGCUGCUGAGAUGACCACACCCUUCAAGCCAUUGACGAUCAAAGGGUUAGUCCAACCAGUCAAGGACCAGAAGAUCGUGAUGAAUGAUGGUGGGUUCGUACCCAUGAAACCCCCAAAGUAUCAAAGUUAUUCUUUCGAUCUAACCAAGGCGCCAGAAAUCUAUGAAGAACUUGUGCGGGCAAGAGUCAUUUUGCCCGACAGCACCAAAAAGAUGCCCAAGCCCGAGGAACUCAGGGGGAAGAAGUAUUGUAAGUUGCAUUAUACCUUCAACCACUCUAUAGUCAAUUGUGUCCAGUUUAGGGACUGGGUACAUGAUCUUAUAGUGAAGGGGAAGUUACUACUCGAUUCACCUCAGGCUAGUAUGUUGGUGGAUACUAACCCUUUCCCCGAAGCUCCUAUUAGCAUGAUCGACCUCGUUUUCAAGGAGUCGGGGUUAUCAACAGAGUAAAAUGCCAUUGAAAGGACCCGGGAGCAGGGGCUAAGAUUGCCAACAAUAAAGAUGGAGGAGAAAAGCAGGUAGGCAAGGGGGCAUAGAGUUGCCUGAGGCCUAUCCAAAUGGAGCAGAACAGGAGGAAUGUUACAUAUCCAUUCUAAAACAAAAAGAGAUUACAAAGUAAUUCUAUUCCAAAAACUUUAUAUCUUCACAUAAGGUGAUUAUUCUAGAAUGGUAUGUUCGCAUGAUGGUAAAAAUUCUAUUUGGUUCAGCCAAGACAGUAUGGCUGUUUACAAGUUCAGACUUGGUUUGCUCUAACUCUGAAGUCGCUUUUUCCACCCCUUCGAUCUGUUGCUCAAGGUUAUCCAGAAGAGUUGUUUGCUUCGCCUUAAGGAUCAUCAGUUGUCUCUCCAACUUCUGAAUUUCAGAAGAAACAACUUCAAUCCGUUCUUUGGUCUGCAUACUCUCUUCCAUCAGCCGACUAACUUGGGUAGAGGAGCUCGAUUCUCUCUCUAUGAAGCAUUUUGCCCGGUUAGCCAGCCGGUCUGCUCUCUGAUGUUGCUCCCUGAGGGCCCUCAAGUUUUCAAAGAAAGAAAGGAAAGAAUCAUACUGAGGCUUAGAUAAGCGAUCGUUUUUAAAGAACUCAGUAAUGACUCUCUCGAGGUCACAGAGAGCCUUGAGGCUAAAUGAUGCAGUGAAUUCUUUCUUUGCCCAUGUUUGAAAGAUUUGUGUUGCUGCUCCGAAGACAUAGAUUUUGUUGAAGCCUGCUUUGAAGACUUCAACCGCGUCUCAAGUCGCCCGAGUGCUUCGAAGAGUUUGGGCAACUUGGCAGGAUCAGAGGAGGAAGGAGAAGGGUCCGGCAUAACAGUUUCUUCUGGUGAGAUAAUGCCUAUGGAAGGGGCAAUUUCUGUUUGUUCAAUCGGUUCAUCUCUAGACAGGGAGGUGUCAACAUCUCCAGAGGAAGAAGGAGGUUGAAAGCACCUUGGGUUACGGGCCAUUGGAGGAGGGGAAGUUUCUUUUGGGGAAGCUCGCUACAAAACUUCAGGAUCAGGACAAGAUGAACUAUACACAAAUCAAAACAAAAGAGGCUUUGGAGAGAAGAAAGUUACCUGACUUAACCCCGGGGUUUCACCAGAAAAUGCACUAACUCCUUGUCGAGGUGAAGAUUUUUCACCACCAGCGACAUAUGGGAAAGUUGUGCCUGAACCUGUGCCUACAUCCUGGUUGUAUCCAAAGAAAGUAGUGAUGAUCAGCAAAAGGUCACCAGAGGAAGAAACAAGAAGAAAAUAUUCCAGCACCUGAGGUUGAUCUUGAGGAGAAGGAGGUUCAUCGACCGUCUGGCGAGUAAGCGCUUGCGAAAUAGUUGUGUCUAAAGCUACAGGGAUCUCAGGAACUAUGGGUUCUUUAUCCAAGGCCACUGACGGGGAAAGGGGUUCAUAUCCCGAAGAUGGCUGCAAAGAACAUGGAUAGGAGUUACUUGGGUAGCAAUGUGCAAAGUUGAAAUGAAAAGAAAGAGUAACUCACCAAAGUAUCAUCCUCAUCCACAAAAUGCAACAUGAUUCUUGUGGAAGGAUCAAAUUGAGAAGAAGGGGUUGCAUCUAGGGCAGGUUGCGGAGAAAGACUUUCUUUCCUUGUAGCCUAAAGCCAAAUUAUUCAAAAUUCAGAAAGGUUUGAAAAUAAGAAAGUAUAAAGAUAGAAGUCAUACCUCUUUAAGCGUAGCAGCCCUUCGUGAUUCCUUCUUAGAAGCAAGGGUUGACCUUUUAGAAGCUUGAGGUCCUGUUGAGUGAUAAAGGGAUAAUCAGAUAAGGGAGAAAGGUAGCCAUUUGAUCCAGAAGAGGAGAGACUCACUGGAAGAUUGUUCUGUCUCUUUACCCGCUUCAGAAACGGGAGCAGAUGGGGCUGCUGGUUUAGGAGGCACGGUGACUCUUGCCCGCUUACUCUUUCGGGUAAGAAUUGGUCGUGUGGUUGCUGAAGGAAGCGCCGGAUCAGAGAUUGUGGUUUUAGUUAUGGCCACCCUCUUUCGUUUAGAUGCUUUGGUCGUAUCUUUGGCUAUUCUUUUAAUUGUUUCUUCAGCUCCUGAAUCCCCAAGAGAUUCAGAGACGUCUGUCCCUUCCCCGGCUUCCCGCCUUUCAGCUUCUGCUGCAGCACCAUGAAGAACUGCGGCAUCAGCAGAAUCAUUCUCUGAUUCGAUGGCUUCGGAUUCAGUAUCAACUGAAGCUGCAGAAACAGGUAAGAGUGAGGAAAGUAAACAACAAGGAAAGCAAAAUCGGAUGGGAAGAAAGUCACCUAUUAGGAGUAAUCAGUUUUUCUCUUGGAUCAUAUCUUUCCAAUUUGCAAGCUCGCCCGAGCUAGGAUAUGAUUUAAGAGAAAGCUGGCUGAAAAUACGAUCGUGGUUCACUUUCAAAUCUCCUCCGUAUUUUCUAGUCCACCUUUCCUCCCACCAAGAAGAAAACAGCGAGGUACAUUCGAAAUUAAGAACAACGGAAUGUCGGGCUGCUUGGCUCAUCACGUCCAAACUACGGCGGGCAGCUCGAAAUAUUGCUUCAGAAUGAGUCUGUAACCGAAAUGAAGUGCCACAAUGGAUGGAGUCGAAGAAUGGGACAGGUAUGGAUUGCCUAAAUCCUAAUUGCCUGCUGCAGAAGUUAGGAUGAUACACAUCCAAGCCUCGAUCAUACCGAUUUCCCCGGACCCCCCAGGCCAAGUCUCUUGGCUGAAUACAGCUGAUAAACUUUUCCCUGCAGAAGGGAGCAGCAUCCUCACCAGGGGCAUCUUGGAAGGCUUGGUCAGAAAACCAAGGAUAUCUCCUCAAGACCGAUGCACCCCAUUCCAAGUCUGACCGAGUCCUGCAGACUCGGAAAAAGUAGAAGAAGCAUGCAAAGGUGGAAUGAUCUACAGGAGGAGCUUCAGCCAGGAUUCGGGCAGGAGCCACACCCUCUGGAAACUCUAGAUUGAUAGCCCGAAAUUCUGGAAAAUACCAUUGUAGCCAAAUCUGUAUCAUCCAGAUGGGGCCGUUCAAAUUGGUCUCAAAGGGCUCAUCCCGGGUCAUGUCAAAAAGAAGGUGAUAGAGAUGGGAGAGAAGGAAUGGACCUGUGGUAACGUCAUCAAAAUUGUGAAGAACCUCUACCAAGGGGAUCCAUUCUACCCGUACCCCCUUGGAUUUGUUGGGGAAGACGUGCUUGUUAAGCCAGUAAAGAAGAAAGUACAUAUGCUCUUGAUCUUUGUCGGCUUGAGGAGAGCCUACCCCGAAGUUCUUCUUGACAAAAGGGAUGAAUCCUUUAAAGGAGGUCCCAUAACUUUUGAAAGUAACUGAGUUAUAGCUAAGAGGAAGGAAGUAGGUGGAAGAACUUGAGCCCCCGGUGGUAGAGGAUGGAAUCCAAUCUUGAGUAACAUCUAUCACCCUGCCCGAUGGCCUCAACCCGAAGACUUGGGCCAUAUCAAGAAUGGUGGGAGACAUGGGACCCAUACGGAAAUCGAAGGUGUUUGUGCCCGUAUUUCCAAAAGAGGAGGGCAGAAGCAAGCAAUUCGGGCUUAGGGGUAAUUGAAAUCUUCGAAAGCAUAAUCAGUUCGUAGAUGCCGUUACUCAUCCAUUUCUGCUUGAAGGAAGGUUCCAAUUCGUCAAUCCACUGGGCCCAGGCAAGAUCAUUCAUCAAGGGAAAGACUCGACGAUGAAAAGACCACUUAGAAGAAGAAAUGCCCGAGUCGGCCAAAUAAGGAUUUGGGGUAAACCAGUUUCCCCUAGGCAUAUUACUUUCUACUACUGAGGGAACCCGAGAAAUCCAGGCAGGACCCAAAGAUUGAACCCCAUGCAUCUCAAAGAAGAGUUCAGAAUGCAGACCUGCCCGCGGACGAUGCAGCCCGUUGAGCAGACGGCGUAGAGUGGCAAUUCCUUCACCAGACUCGUAGGAUGGUAGGGUUUGGCCGGAUCCUGAGGCCAUUUAAUGAAGGCCGUGGGGAAGAAAAACAAGGAGAACGGUAAAGAUACAACCUCGUCGGACAACGAGAAAGAAAUGAUGGAAGAAUUGGGAAGUUUUGUUGUAUCAGAGAAGGUUUUCUUUUUACGAAACACAGAGAACAGAGAAGUUCACUCACAAGGGUUCUAAGAGUUCUAAGGGUUUAAAGCAGGGGUCUCUUUCAAUUAAUAUUGGCGCCUGGGAUCCCAACCUUAACAUCAAUUGAAGGGGGCACUGUUUGGGAUAAAAUCUGAACUUUGGGCCAGAGAGAAAGUCGGCCCAAACCCAAGGCCCAGAGGAAAACUUAGGAGGCAGGAAAGAGGCUUUCGGCUGGGCACAAGUUACAAAGGCCACCUGCUUACCUGCUCAAAGACCACAGGGGGUAGGCUAUUCAGUCACUACAUAGCCCAAUAAAGUACUUUAUUGGUGGCAUUCAUGUAAAAAAGCUAGUGAGUCAUCACCAAACCGCAUUCGGGCACCGCUAUUGCUACAGGAACCCAAGCUGAAGUCGUCUAUAAAAGGAGGAAGAGAAGACAGAAUUAAAGACACUCAAACAAACAAACAAAAGCCAAAACUCUGCUCAAGCCAGAUUUGCCUUCAACAAAGCUGUAGUCAGCACAAGCAUUCAUCCCAUUCGGGAUAAACCUUCCCAAACCCCUGUAAUAGCUCUGCUACCUUGUUCAUGGUGGUAUCGAUUCAUUUUGUAUCCUCUUCUCCCCCGUCAACCCCUCUAAAAGCUUUCAGACCUCUGACAGAGCCACAAAGAUAGAUUUUGUAAGAAGUUCAGCCUUGGCCGAUAAGGUUCAAACUUACCCGACUAUCUUUGCUCUGUCUUUGUCUUUUAUUUCUUUUAAAAGCACAAUAACAUGUUAUAUAUUCCCAAUUAUAUACAAGUUAUUUCUAGCAAAGUCAUAAUGAAAAUGAGUCUUCAGCACUUGAAUCCGAUCUGAAUCGUGUCAGAGUUCAAAUCAGAUCUAAGUCUUAAGCCCGCGGGCAUGUAAUUUAAAGAUCAGUAAAGUCCUUGGCCUCAAGGCAUAAAAAAGAACUCUAUGUGGACUCAACCCAUCCACGACAAUCCUUGAUAAGCGAGAAGUCCGAAGUUACUUGGGGCGCAAGUAAUCAAUCUAUUUCUCCGUUUUGUUGCUAUUAUAUCUUGAUUCGUAGAAAAGGCUUAAGCACGGAGUGAAUUCUGAUAGAAAGCCUCAAGGCCUACACCUAAGGCCCCACGAAGGCAUCUAUUUAGCUUCAUUUCAUGUUGCGGUCUCUAGUUGGUCCGAGUAUAAGGAUUAACUCUGAUGGGAAGCCUCAAGGCCUAUACCUAAGGCCCUACAAAGGCACUCAUUUGGGUUCGUCCUACCUCUUGGAUUCAGAUAAUCAAAGGUAUAAUAGUGAUAAGACUCUGGCAACCAUAAAAGACCAAAUAUGAUACAUCCAAGCGCUGGUUUAGGUUGACAGGAAGCCUCAAGGCCUAUACCUAAGGCCCCACAAAGGCACCUGUUAUAUCUAACUUGGUUUCUCGGGCGUAUACAUAUUCAAUCAAAGCUUAACACCCAUUCAACAUCUGCCAUACUAAAGAUGGCAGUGGCACGCCUGAGCACGACAAAGUUAAUCUUGAUUGUGAGCCUUAAGGCCUACACCUAAGGCCCCACAAAGGCACCCUUUCAAAUUAACUCUGUCCUUCUCUUUCAGAACUGCCCGACGAGCCUUGCCCGAAGUGUGUCUUGCCCGACCAAGAUCUGCCCGACAAAGGCUUGCCUGAGCGAGUCCGAGAAGAAAGCAGAAGUACGACAGAUACCCUCAACCGACGCCAUUCUCCCAGGGGAGCUGUGUACUCGUCCGCCAGGAGAUUCCUGCGACGAACAAAUUGCUUUCAAGGAAAUUGAACUCUUUUUCUCAGAAAUUCAGGCAAUAGAAAUCUAAAAACAGCAAAGUUUAAACAACCAGCAAAUAUUGACAGUAAAAUUCGUAAAAUCAGCAAGACAAGCAGAGAUCAAACAGUACGAGGCAAAAAAACAUCACAUAAAAAAAUUUCGCAAGAAAAAGAAGGUAUCUCGAUUCUUGCCCAGGACGGUGUUGAUGGGGUUCAUUGCGCCUUGGUUCUUGGCCGCAUCGCCGAUCAACCUCUCCGUAUCAGUAAACGCCACGUAAGACGGCGUCGUGCGGUUGCCCUGUUCAUUAGCGAUGAUCUCGACGCGGUCGUGUUGCCAAACAGCGACGCACGAGUAACUAGUUCCGAGAUCUAUACCGAUCGCUGGCCCCUCUCCCUUUACCGCCAUUGCAACCGCUGAUAUUCAAUCAAUCAAAGAACCGCAGAGAAAAGUAAAGAGCUUUUGAGCUUUUGAGAUAGGUAAAGAAACUUAGCCAGGACGAAAUAAAUUCAGUUUGUAGAAUUUUAUUUUCUUUUUACAUUUGUUGGCGCGUAAAGACAUUCUUAUAGUUAUAAUACAGUUAUAAUACUCUAAGUGCACGUACAAUGUUUAAUUUUAAUAUUUGUACUUGUCAAGAGAUAUUCUUUAAUUUUAAUUUUUUUAGCUAAAAAUUUGUAUGAACUUUUGCACCGUUAAAUUUAAAUUAAGGUUAUGCAAGUCUCUCAACUUGAGAAAAUCACACAAAACCUGUUAAACCAUUAUUUAACUAAUAAAUUAGUAUACGAUAAAGAAGUUAAUAGAAAGGUAACCUAUUGUAAAUACAAACAGAAUGACUGCACUAAAGCCUAUUAAACCAAAAAGAAAUGAAAAGAAUGUAGGUAGAAAAUUAAUAUUAGUAAAUGAGAAUUAAUAUUAAGGAAAACUAAUAAAAAUGGUUUAAAAACUUUGAGUUUUAACGAUAAGGACAAAAUAAAAAGUAAAGUGAAUAGUACCGAGAUCACCAAACAUAAAGGAUAAAAUUCAAACAAUAUCAAACAGUGAAUCCAAGAGAGAUAAUUUAGAAAGAAAAUGGGCUUCAUUGACAAAAUACUAGAAUACGAUGUUGAACAAAAUAACCAAGAUCACCAAACAUCCUACAUCUUGGAUUUUAGAAUCCCAUUAAAAAAGUACCCAAUUUCAAACCUUAAACUAAGAAACACAUAUUGGCUCAACAAAAACAGAUUCAUUGACUUCUUCCAUCUUGGGACCAGCACCGCUGCCACUAGCAGGAGGAACAUCUUCAUCCAUGGUGCCACAGACAUCAGGUAUGCCAGCCUUGGUGCACCUUGGCAAUGAUUGGAUUGCAGAUGCUCUCCAGCUCAUCCAGCUUGUCCACAAACUCGUCAGCCUCAGCAAGUUGGUUUUCAUCAAGCCAUUGAAUAGCCUGGUUGGUCUGGUCACUCGCGUCCUUGAUCUUCUUGAUCGUGUUCAUCAUGUUGACAGCAUAAAUCACCAAAGUCUUCCCCAUGUUGUAGGCAUAAUUCUCCAAGGCAAUCUUGGCCUCUACCUUCUUCUUGUGCUUCUCAUCUUCUGACUUAUACUUCUUAGCCUCUUGAACCAUCUUCUCUAUUUCUUCCUUCGACAAUCUUCCAUUGUCCUUGGUGAUGGUAAUCUUGUUCUUCUUCCAUGUAGUCCUGUCUAUAGCAGAGACGUUGAAGAUACCAUUGGCAUCAAUAUCAAAGCAGACAGUGAUUUGCGGAACACCCCUUGGAGCAAGAGGAAUGCCAGAAAGCUCAAAUUUUCCCAACAAGUUGUUAUCGCGAGUCCAUAUCCUUUCACCCUCAUAUACUUGGAUCAAGAUACCAGGCAGAUUGUCUGAGUCGGUAGAGAAGACUUGUUCCUUCUUGGUUGGAACGGUCGUGUUCCUUGGAAUCAACACAGUCAUCACACCUCCGGCAGUCUCCAAACCAAGGGACAGAGGAGUGACAUCCAGAAGCAAUAAAUCCUUCACCUUCUUGUUACCCUCACCGCUCAAGAUGGCAGCCUGCACAGCGGCGCCAUAAGCAACAGCCUCAUCUGGGUUGAUGCUUCUGCACAGCUCUUUGCCCUCGAAGAAGUCCUGCAACAACUGCUGCACCUUUGGAAUCCUAGUAGAACCGCCCACUAGCACAACAUCGUGGACCGAGCUCUUGUCCAUCUUUGCAUCUCUCAAACACUUCUCAACGAGCUCCAUACACUUUCUGAAAAGAUCCAUGUUAAGCUCUUCAAACCUAGCACGGGUAAUGGUUGAGUAAAAAUCGACACCAUUGUACAAAGAAUCGAUCCCAAUUGUGGUCUGAGAAGUGGAUGAGAGAGUCCUCUUUGCCUUCUCACAAGCAGUUCUCAACCUUCUACGAGCACUUGGGCUGCUGCUGAUGUCCUUCUUGUGUUUCCUCUUGAACUCUUGAACAAAAUGAUUCACCAUUCUAUUGUCGAAAUCUUCUCCUCCCAAGUGGGUGUCUCCGGCAGUUGCCUUCGCUUUAAAAAUACCCUCUUCAACUGUGAGCAGGGAGAUAUCAAAAGUGCCUCCGCCAAGAUCGAAAAUCAAGACAUUCUUCUUGCUAACGCUGGUGACCUUCUUGUCAAGACCAUAUGCAAAAGCGGCAGCGGAGGGCUCAUUCAUAAUACGCAGAACAUUAAGGCCGGCAAUGACCCCAGCAUCCUUCGUGGCCUGACGCUGAGAAUCGUUGAAGUAAGCCGGGACAGUAACAACGGCAUUCUUUAUAGAUGAGCCAAGAUAGGCCUCAGCAAUCUCACGCAUUUUGAAGAGAACCAUGGAGGAAAUUUCUUCAGCAGUGAACUGCUUCUCUUCGCCCUUGUAUGUGACAACAAUCAUGGGCUUGUCACCGGGGCCGGAAAUGACCUUGAAAGGCCAGUGCUUCAUGUCACUCUGAACAGAAGGGUCAGAGAAUCUCCUACCAAUCAACCGCUUGGCAUCUGAAAAAUUAACCAAGCUCGUUAAAAAAAUACUAAUUUAUUAAUAAUUCAUAACACAGAACAAGCUACAAUAUCAAGCUAAAUCCAUUAAAACUUAUCAAAAAUAAAAGUAACCAAAUAGAUCAUGCCAGACACUAAAAACUCGGAAAGCUUUUUUAAAUGGAUUUUUAUCACAAACGGUCAUUGAAAUUGAUUGAACUUAUCAAAAUGAUCAUUGAAAUUGAAAAUCGAUCAAUCUAAUCCAUAAAAACGGGGUCGGAAAUCAAUGUGAUCAUUCUGUCACAAUUCUGUCAAACUCUGUUAUGUGCUGAUGUGGCACAUAAAUGGGUCUCACAAGACUAAUUCAUAUUGCCACAUGGAUUAGAAAUACUUGAAAUUAUUUUUGAAAAAAAUAUUUUUGGAUAAUUAAAAACUUAAAAAAAAAAAUAGCCAUCUUCUCCCACCCGAGGAAGCUGCACCCCUCCACUUCGGCUCUGAAUCAGAAACUAUGCCUGAUAUCCAGAAGCCCCAAAGCCCCUAAUAUCGCAUCCACCACACAAUGAAGUGACACAUCCCCAGAAUUCGAAUACAAAAUUCAAAAAUUAAAUAAAAAAUGUAAUAAAAUAAAUUAGAAAAUGUGAAAUUACGGGAAGAAAAAGCAAAUUAAUGGAGGAAUACAGUCAUAUAUAUAUAUAUAUAUAUAUAUAUAUUUUUAAGUUUUUAAUUAUAUAAAUAAUUUUUAAUUUAUUUAAAUAUUUUAAAUCCAUAGAGCAAUAUUUACUUAUAUUUGUGGGAACCAGUUAUGUGCCACAAAGAAUUUUUGACGGAAUUGUAACGGAAUGACCACAUUGAUUUGUGACACCAAUUUUCAGGGAUUACAUUGAUUGAUUUUCAAUUUCAUGGACCAUCUUGAUAAGGUAGAUCAAUUUAAGAGACCAUUUAUGAUAAAAACCAUUUUUAAAAUUUCAUCCAACAAUUUACAAGAAACUUAAAACCCAAAUUAUAAUUUUGAACAGAUUAACUAAAACUCGUGGCCGUGACCACCAAUUAUAAUAUUUGAUAGUCCAUUAAUAUUAACUAAACAAAUCCUGCAAAUAAAAAUAAAAAAUAAAUAAACCGAUCAAUUCGCUAUAAAAAGAUUCAAGGCACAACAAACCCUGCACAAAAUUAACCUGCAAAGUUAUUUAUCAGACCAAGCCUCAAAAAGAUAAUUACUUUCAAGGAAAUUGAACUCUUUUUCUCAGAAAUUCAGGCAAUAGAAAUCUAAAAACAGCAAAGUUUAAACAACCAGCAAAUAUUGACAGUAAAAUUCAUAAAAUCAACCAUACAAGCAGAGAUCAAACAGUACAAGGCAAAAAAACAACAUCACAUAAAAAAGAAAGUAUCUCGAUUCUUACCCAGGACGGUGUUGACGGGGUUCAUGGCGACCUGGUUCUUGGCCGCAUCGCCGAUCAACCUCUCCGUAUCAGUAAACGCCACGUAAGACGGCGUCGUGCGGUUGCCCAGAUCAUUAGCGAUGAUCUCGACGUGGUCGUGUUGCCAAACAGCGACGCACGAGUAACUAGUUCCGAGAUCUAUACCGAUCGCUGGCCCCUCUCCCUUUACCGCCAUUGCAUCAGCUGAGAUUCAAUCAAUCAAACAAGCAAAGAACCGCAGAGAAAAGUAAAGAGCUUUUGAGAUUUUUGGGCGAUAGGUAAAGAAAGUUAGCCAGGAAGAAAUUCAGUUUGUAAAAUAUUCCCUCCCUUCUGCAUGUGCGUAUGAAAGACGCUACGCGCGGCGUGUAGAAUUAUAUUUUCUUUUUACAUUUGUUGGCGCAUGAAAACAUUCUUAUAGUUACAAUGCGCGAAGCGCACGUACAAUGUUUAAUUUUAAUAUUUGUACUUGUCAAGAGACAUUCUUUAAUUUUAAUUUUUUUAGUUGAAAAUUUGUAUGAACUUUUGCACCGUUAGAUUUAAAUUAAGACUAUGCAAGUCUCUCAACUUGAGAAAAUCACAUAAAACCUGUUAAACCAUUAUUUAACUAAUAAAUUAGUAUAUGAUAAAGAAGUUAAUAGAAAGGUAACCUAUUGUAAAUACAAACAGAAUGACUGCACCAAAGCCUAUUAAACCAAAAAAAAAUGAGGAGAAUGUAGGUAGAAAAUUAAUAUUAGUAAAUGGGGAUUAAUAUUAAGGAAAACUAAUGAAAAAGGCUUGAAAACUUUGAGUUUUAACGAUAAUGAUAAAAUAAAGGAUAAAGUGAAUAUUACUAGGAUUGACUUCUUGGUGUAAAUGUGGUUUUUCGUUAAAGUGAACAGUAUUGGGAGAUUUUCAUUAGAGUUCCCUUAAUAUUAAUGGUCCAAAUCUGUAAUCCUUAUCUUAGAUUGCUAAAAUGAAACUCAAAAUGAACAAUGCUAAGUAUACAUGUGUAUGCUAUCUUCGCUUGCGAAACUCAAGCAGUUUGCAAAAGCUGAGAAACUCUAUACUGAAUAGGACUUUGUUUCGGAGACUCUAGGGUUUCAAAUAUACUUCUUGCAGCGUACAUCAAAGAAGACCAAACGAAAGGACUGAAACCUUUCAUAGUCGGAUGGAGCAAAAUAUACUUCUUCUGUAUUUUCCCUGUGAAACCAACUUCAAAACUGAUUGUACAAAUUAAAAAAUUUCAAACAUUCAAUUACCCGGAAACCAAAAAUGAAAAUUUUAUUAAAUUAAAUUAAAAUAAAUCAUUGGCAAAAAGAACAUAAAAAUGAAAAUUUCUACUAAAUUAAUUAAAAUAAACUAAUACGCAAGAGGAACAAAGGCAACCUUUUGAAUUAAUCUAAAGAGAUGCAAACUAAAAAUACCGGUCUUGCCAUCAAACAGUGAAUCUAAGAGAGAUAAUUUAGAAAGAAAAUAGGCUUCGUAGGCAAAAUACUGGAAUACGAUGUUGAACAAAAUGACCAAGAUCACCAAACAUCCUACAUCCUUCAUCGACUUCUUCCAUAUUGGGACCAGCACCGCUGCCACCAGCAGGAGGAACAUCUUCAUCCAUGGCGCCACCGACAUCAGGU